AAGCUGAAAAAUAUGCAUGCAAUUUUUUUUACCAGGUCAACAAUAAUAAAAAUAGAAAGCAUACUUGUCAAAGAAGAAAUGUCUUUGAAAGAAAAAAGUAACGAGAUAUUUGAAAGACUUACACAAUACGUUGGGGAUUCCAGAGAACGGAAUAGGUGUGAAAGUCAGCAGUGGGGUCAAACCAGAGGUGGAAUUGUUGNNNNNNNNNNNNNNNNNNNNNNNNNNNNNNNNNNNNNNNNNNNNNNNNNNNNNNNNNNNNNNNNNNNNNNNNNNNNNNNNNNNNNNNNNNNNNNNNNNNNGAGAUCCUUGGAGAUCCAAUCAACUUUUAUUUUGUGUCAACUUAGCAAAUUGUUUUUCUUUUUUCUUUUUAAUGUUUAUUUUUUAUAGUAUCGAAUUACUUAAUUUUUUGAAUGAUAUUUAAUUAUUUAUGUCAUUAAAAUGUUUAUCAUGAGAACAUUUUAUGAUGGUAAGACGUUAGAUGAUGACAAUGAAGUUUAUAGAGAAGAUCAAAAUAAUUUUCCUUAUAGAUAUGAGAGAAAAAAAUUUUUUUAGUUGAAUAUCAUUGAUUCAAUAUCUAUUAGUUUUGAAGUUUUUUGAAGUUUGAAAUAGAGUUAAUAGAAUACUAAAUGUUUUAAAAUCUAACAUUUAUAAUUUUAAUAGAGUAAUUAUUUUUGGGAAAGGGAAAACAUUGAAUUUUUUUUUGUAAUUAUUAACCAAAUAAGGUUUCAAAGGGUUACAAACAUUAUUAUACCAUAAAAAUCAUAUUUUUUUUUUAUAAAAACAUUACUUUUAAAGUAAAGAUUAUUAAAUAUAUAGAUAAUUAUGAAUAGGAGUAAUAAUAGGGAGAUGCCUAAAAAUUAAUUUAUUCUACAAUUUAUAUGCAACUUAAAAAAAUUAAAAUCUUAAAAUAAAUAUUGUUAUUGUAUUAAUAAAUAGAUAUCCAAAAUACGAAACUAAUUCGCCUAGUGCUCAAGCCAUUCCUAACUACUAAUUUUUAUCAUUUAACAUUAUACAAUACAGCUCCUGUACCUAGGUUUGUUGAUUUAGCAACUUCUCUAAGCGGUUCUGCAUUCUACAGGGAGACCCUGGGGAAAUCGCUUUGUGUCAGUGCAGUAAUUGUAAAUCAUGUAAUUCUUUUGCACCCACUUCAGCUUGUUUUGACUUGAUGAAUCAAGCUCCUGCGAAAACCAGGCUCUGCUUCUGGACUUAGAGGAAGCGCAAGAUGAUUUUCCAUUAGACCAGAGACAAGCAUCAGCUUUGAAGUUUCUGUAAGAAGCAGUGAAGGGAGCAUGUGUCCAAUCUGUCUUAACAAGGCCACCUCUCGUAGCCCAGUCAUCAGCAUUCCAAAGAGAAGAGUAUAUUCUCAUUGGCUGAUUCUUUGGGAAUGGCACUCCAAUUGAUUCUGAGUUUUUGAAUUCUCUUAUGGGUGUGCCAUCAUCUGUGAAGCUGGAAAUUUCAAGGCAAAAACUCGUAAGUCUAUCAGAAUUGAUUAAUGCGAAGGAAAUUAGGCAAACAUAGUAGGAUUUAAGGAAAAUGCUUACACAAUGCGAUGUGGAUUCCUGAGGACGGAAUAGGUGUGGAAAGCAGCCGUGGGGUCACACCAGAGGAGAAAUUGGUGCUCUCUUUUUCUGGGGGGGGGGGGAGGUGUCGUGUGUGGAAGGAUCCCCUUCGUGGUCUUCGUAUUGGUUGAGGAAAAUGAGCUGGAGAUAGCUGGAUUUUGACACUUAAUUAUGAUAAACCUUGGACCACAUAUAUAGUCUUUCUCUUUCGCUCACCAAACACGUACAUAACCAAAGGGAGAAGGAGCUAGCAAGCCGACUCCAUAUAUUGUCACCGCCGUUCACCAAUCGUGUUGCGUAUACUUGGACCGCGUCUACAAAAAGUACUCCGAAAAAGUUAGGAUCCAUCGAUUGGGUAGAAUCGUACGAUAAUAUUUAUAGAGAGAUUUUUUUUCUUUGGUGGGACACCCUUCUAUUCGUCCACUGAUUGUGAAAUACGUAUGAGAAGAAAAUUAGAGGCACCAUUUAUAGAAAUAGCCUAAAAUUAGAUCAAUAUAUAAAAGUAGCCCACAUUUAUUAUUUUUAUAUGUAGGUUAAUUAGUAGCUAAAGAAUGGUAUUUUGAACAUAAACGUCCGUGACAGCAACUGUUGAUCGCUCACAGAUUGGACACUUGACUCCUAACGUGUUGGUUGCCUGUUGAGCUUCAUUGAUCAAGCGCUUGACGUAUGCCACGUUGACGGUUCAUGAACCAUUUGUUUAGUUCAAAAGAGUUACUUAGAGCCAUUAUGUUAGUGUGCACUCUGAAUAUUUGAGUUUAGAAUAAGUUUAUUUUAUUUCUAAAUAUUUGAAAGAAAAUCAACAUUCAUUAUAUACAUGGAGAACUUUAACACUCAACUCUUAAAAAUGAUUCAAAGGGGUGCCAACUAUCCACAAAAUGUCCAUUUUUUAUAAUUAAAAUAAGAAAAUAGUAAAUGCACUACUUUUCUAAACCGACUCUAAUUUUAGGACAUUUCUUUUUUUUUUUCUAAUAUAUUAUUACCUUAUGUACCCAACGUAUUUAUUACAGUCAAUAACGUAAUUGUAAAUUUUAGACUAAAUAUACACUAGUCAACAUUUCUUUGAAUUAUUGUACGUAUAAAGCCCGAGUAUAGACUGUCGCUGUGGGAAAAUUUCAAUUCUCACGCACCCUUUAUCCAGUGAGUUCACAGCUUCCAUGGGGCAGCAACGCCGGGGACCCAACUUCAUUAUCCUUACGAAAGUUUCUAGAGAAUAAUGACUUGAAUGGGCGAAUCAUGCACAGCACAGCCCCUCCUUUUUAAGCCGCGUCCGCCUUGGGGUAUAUUUAAAAAAAGUUUUAAUAAUUCGUGGCUGCGGCUUUAUCCUCGUGUGGGUCAAAUUUGAUUAUGUAAUCAGAGCAAGUAAAUAACUAAAAAAAGCGGCAUUUGCAACUUAAUUAUUAAUUAACUGAUGUUGCCAUUUGUCAACUUGAUUAUGUCACAAUCUACUUACCACCAUUAUUACAAGUCAAUACUGAUCCAUUAUAAAACAUUAUUUAGUAUUAGGAAAAUAAUUGUAAUUAUCGAUCACAAGUUUGAACUUUAUGUUCUUAUACGAUGAUCACCAUUUAAAUAUGAGCACGCGGGUGGCAGGUGGUCAACAACUUAGAAGCAUUCUAUAUUUCUAUUUGAUGAUCAAAACGACGUGGAAAAGGUUAAAUACAAUCCAUUGAAGAAGCACCGCGAAAUCCAGUCCUACAAUCCACAGCAUUUUUAAGUCGAUUGAAGUUGGGCCGUUUCUUUGGAAAGAAAAACGGUUGUGCUCUUUGUGAGAGCAAAGGAGAAUUGGGCCUUUAUUUGUGUAAUCUGGGCUUCAAAAUGUCAACCGAAUAUGAGAUCCUUGGAGAUCCAAUCAACUUUUAUUUUGUGUCAACUUAGCAAAUUGUUUUUCUUUUUUCUUUUUAAUGUUUAUUUUUUAUAGUAUCGAAUUACUUAAUUUUUUGAAUGAUAUUUAAUUAUUUAUGUCAUUAAAAUGUUUAUCAUGAGAACAUUUUAUGAUGGUAAGACGUUAGAUGAUGACAAUGAAGUUUAUAGAGAAGAUCAAAAUAAUUUUCCUUAUAGAUAUGAGAGAAAAAAAUUUUUUUAGUUGAAUAUCAUUGAUUCAAUAUCUAUUAGUUUUGAAGUUUUUUGAAGUUUGAAAUAGAGUUAAUAGAAUACUAAAUGUUUUAAAAUCUAACAUUUAUAAUUUUAAUAGAGUAAUUAUUUUUGGGAAAGGGAAAACAUUGAAUUUUUUUUUGUAAUUAUUAACCAAAUAAGGUUUCAAAGGGUUACAAACAUUAUUAUACCAUAAAAAUCAUAUUUUUUUUUUAUAAAAACAUUACUUUUAAAGUAAAGAUUAUUAAAUAUAUAGAUAAUUAUGAAUAGGAGUAAUAAUAGGGAGAUGCCUAAAAAUUAAUUUAUUCUACAAUUUAUAUGCAACUUAAAAAAAUUAAAAUCUUAAAAUAAAUAUUGUUAUUGUAUUAAUAAAUAGAUAUCCAAAAUACGAAACUAAUUCGCCUAGUGCUCAAGCCAUUCCUAACUACUAAUUUUUAUCAUUUAACAUUAUACAAUACAGCUCCUGUACCUAGGCACUAAAGUUUUUGAAACAGCCAGCUUUAAUGGACGGCGCAUUCUUUGGGAAAGCCCUGGGGAAAUCGCUUGGUGUCAGUGCAGUAAUUGUAAAUCAUGUGAUUCUUCUGCACCCAGUAAAGCCUCCGUUGGUUUGUGGAAUCCAUUUGUUGCAAGAGCCAGGCACGGCUACCAUCAGCCUUGAAGUUUCUGUAAGAAGCAGUGAAAGGAGCUUGGCUCCAAUCCGUCUUGAUUAGCCCACCUCUUGUAGCCCAGUCAUCAGCAUUCCAAAGAGAUGAGUAUACUCUCAUUGGCAGAUUCUUUGGGAAUGGAACGCCUAUAGCCUCCAGGUUUUUGAACUCUCUAAUUGGGAUACCAUCAACAGAGAAGCUGAAAAAAUGCAAUUAAUUGAACAACACAAGUCAAUAAAAUUGUAGAAGCGAAUGACAUACUAAUAAGAGAGAAAUGGACUUUACACAAUGCGUUGAGGAUUCCAGAGAACUGAAUAAGUGUGAAAGUUGACUGUGGGGUCAAACCAGAGGUGAAAUUGCUGCUCUCUAUCACCCUUGCCUUGGCUGUACACAUUUGUGUGAACUGUGUACGGCUGACCGCUCAGGUUUCCCAAGAAUUCAAAGUCUAUCUCAUCCCAUGUUGGUCCUUGUGAGCGUAGCUACAACCUCGCUCAAAGACUCUCAUAAUUAUUAUUAAUAAACGUCGUGCAAAGAAAUCAAUGAAACAGCAGGUGUCGAUAAAAAGAAAAGCUUACAUAAUAAGCAGUGACUGUGCCAGCAGAGUUUCGAGGGACAAGCUUGAGUUGCAUAUCAAUCUUGCCGAAUAAGUAUUGUUUCUUGGACUGGAAGCCUGAGCCAGAGUAACGGUCGAGAGUGAGAGUAAGCAGCUGGCCGUUGUUGAAUAUUUUCCCAUGACCAUCUCCCCAUGUGAUAUCAAAUUCCUCAUUGAAAUUACCAGCAGAAACAGCAGCUAAACACCCAACAAAAAUACACAUCAUCAUCCCAAACGAAUCAGAACCCAUAUCUUUCAGGAUUUUGGGAACUGGAGCUCGCUAUACUGAAUAGUGCAUAAAUUAUUACUAGUUUUGCAUGGAUGUAAUGUAAUAUUAUAUAGGGGAUUGGAGUAUAGAAAUGGACAAAAGAAGAGUGAAGAAGAGGGUGCGUUUGGAUGGUUGUUUCAUGUUUGCCGUUUCUGAAAGUGCAAAGUUGUCAACAGCUGGCUGUGCCAUGAAUUGAAAGAGAGGAAAAUUUGGCUGUUUCUCAUUUGCAGACAGAUUAUGUGACAUGGCCCCAAAUUCCAAAUGGGGUUCGGUGCCCGCAUGCAUGCCCACUUGAUCUUGAAUUGUGAUCAUGAUUAUCCGGUACUCGCACAUAUCUAUGUAGACACCGGUUUAGGUUGUACUUUUGCUUCUGCCGAUUCCACCACCAUGGUCCCUGGGGCUCAAUCCCGCGUCAAAUUCUUUCAAGCAUUUGACAGACGGUCGGUUAGUCAUUGUCGUACUUGUUAACAGGAUCAGGUCAAGGAACUGGGGUCCAUUAGAUGACUAUGAUACAAAAGACCAGCUGGUGAUAUAUCAUCUAAAACAUUGUUACUCAAAUACAAUCUAUCCUUAAAAACAAACCAGAAUAUCAUCCUUUUAUUGAAAUUAAUGCUGUUAAAUACAUUGUUUCCCACUUUCCAUUAACUACCUCAAGAGUCGGGGAACAGAUUAUGUUGUAUUGUAUUCUUUCUCUUUGUUUGUACUUUUUAAUUUUCUUACAACAGUAAGCUGAGAUACAGAGCUUUGAUUCUUUAUUAAAAAAAGGGAGAGAAACCAGGAUGCUUUCUUAAUAAACAAGUCUUUGAGACAAAUUAGGACAUUGUUGGUGCAUGCUUUGGGUUCAAUGAUUAGUUAAUUACGUAUUAUAACUCGUCUUUCUUAACACUUGGUGACAUGUUUCCCGUGAGCAGUAUCACAACCGUAUAAAUUUUCAAUGUAGCAUACAAUUUCCCCAUGCAUGGGCGGCUACAUGUGACUUGGAUAAAAGCCAUGACGAAAUGAGAUUAUGGAUUGUCUGCAUGAGUUAGGAAAGAAAAUUCUCAAGGUAAUUGAAACUGAACAAAAUCUGAAUAUUGUUCGAUUUAAGGAAAAUAAUCAACUUUGUUAAAUUUUGUGCAGUUAUCCUUAGAAGAAGUUUGGGAUAGCCAAAAGCCCAUUUCAUUUGGGCCGAGCAGGCACCUGAGGGGCCCUUAAUAUCAAUUCCUACCUAUUUCUUCUUGAUAAUUGGCAUGUAUAAUAAUAUAUUAUAUUACUUUGCAGAACAAUUAUCAAAUGAUGAGGAUGGCAACCGAAGUCCAAAAUGAAAAAAUAAAAAGACACAUAAAUUUUAAUGCAACCAUCCUACAUCAUUCAUUAUUCAAAGACUAUUAUUUAGAUGCAUCAAGUGGGAAGCAAUAUUCUUCUGUUACAUGAUUGAUGGCAAUCAACAAACCCUAUUGAGAAAAGAAGUAGAAGAAAGAAUUGAAAGGGGAAUUUCUAAACAUUGAAUGGAUUAGAAAAAUUCAUCAUCCUAAUUUUUGUUGGUGAGGGUGCAUUCUUGGGGGAGGCCCUGAGGGAACCGACUUGUGUCUGUGCAAUAAUUGUAAACCAUGUAAUUUUGCUGCACCCAUUUUAGCUUCCUUUGGCUUGAAAAAUCAAGCUCCUGUGAAAACCAUGUAUUUUUAGUUGUGGAAUUUGAGCUGCAAGAAGAUAUUCCAUUGGACCAAACACAAGCUUUUGCAUUGAAGUUUCUGAAGGAAGCAAUGAAGGGAGCCUGAGACCAGUCUGUUUUCACCAGUCCUCCUUUUGUAGCCCAGUCAUCGGCAUUCCACAGGCUAGCAUACGUUCUCAUUGAUUGUUUUUUCGGAUACGGAAUGCCGAAUGAUUCAAGAUUCUUGAAUUCUCUGAUGGGUCUACCAUCGAUAUAGAAGCUGAACAAAAAGAAAAUGUAAUUAAAAGUUAAUGGGAGCUUGAUAAAAUUAAAUCCAGGUUUUGAAUUUCGCUCACAUCAGGGUUGUGUAUGUGCUUACACAAUGUGACUAGGAUUCCAGAGGAUUGAAUAGGUGUGAAAAUCGGCGGUGGGAUCAAACCAGAGGUAGAAUUGUUGCUCUCUGUCACCUUUCCCUUGUGUGUAGACAUUAGUAUGAACAAUGUAAGGGUUGCCACUCAAAUUCCCCAGGAAUUCGAAGUCUAUUUCAUCCCAUGAUGCCCCUGGAGAUUUUAGCUGCACCGUAGCAAGUCUAUGUAUCAGCAUAAUGACGUGACGACUGAUAAGCAAAUUAUAUGUGAAAGGGAACAAGAAUCUUUCAUUAAGUAGCUUACAUAGUAGGCAGUGACAGUGCCAGCAGAGUUGUUGGGAACGAGCUUGAGCUGCACAUUAAAUUUUCCAUAGAGAAAUUCAUUCUUAGACUCGAAGCCAGAGCCAGAUGCUUUGUCGAGAGACAGAGUAAGAAGCUUGCCUUUGUUGAGAAUCUUGGCACGGCCAUCACCCCAUGUAAUAUCAACAUCUUUGUUAAAAUUACCAGUAUUUGCAACAAUGAAAGAGCUUGUGACAAUAAAAGAGAACAAGAAAAUUGGAUAAGCAGAAUAAGAAUAGCAAGCCAUUGACUUCAGGAGCGUUAUGCAACUUUAGUUUGACGCACUUGAGAAUACUGAGUUCCAGGCUAUUUAUUGGAGCUGCCGGUUAGUGCAUCGAAUGUUCGCUAAAUAUUGAAAUGUAUAGUUGGUUGGUGGGGUGAGUUGAGAACUGAACAGCUGGAUAGCAAAAACAAGUGCACAUUGAAAAUGGGCAUCUUUGUCAUAACUUUAAGCCAGUCAAAUUGCUUGCGGGCAUUAUUUUACAGGAGAGAUGAGCAUAGUUGCUACUUGCUUCCUAGGUUAUUUCCACCUACUCCUGAGCAUUUGGCAUAUCCACCGACAAAUAAUGCGAUGCCACUUCCAUGAAAAUUUGUUUUCUAGUAUGUUCUAGUGGACACCCAGAAGUUGCCAGAUCAAAGAGAAAUGGUUUUGGAUUUACUAUAUUGUAGCAUUAGAUUUCCCCACUUCCCUCUUAGGAUUCUGAAAACAUCGAGGGAGACCAUGAAAGUUUUUAAGGCUGAAAAAAUAGGGCAUACCCCAUGGAAAAUGUAAUAGCAUUAUAUAUAUCCAGAAGAAACAGCAGCUGCCAGAAGCUUGUAACCCUAUGUCAACAAAAUAUAAAGUAACCAAAUGGGCAACUCAUAACCAUUAUAAUUGAACCAAAAGAAUUUCAACUGGAUCCCCCAUGGCAUAUAUCAAAACAAACCAAAAAUCUAUACUUUUAAUGACAUGGGAAUCAGGAAUAGGAUUUAUGAAUCAGUGUGAUUUAUAAAAGGAUACCCACAUCCACCUUAUUUAAAAAUUAGCAUGGCAAUCAAGACAAAUUUAAAAUCUAUCAACAUGAGGCACUUGCACAGUGAGAGAAAUUGGGUCCACAACUAAAAUAGAAAAUAAAUUCAUCUAAGAAAAUAAUCCAUUAGUAGUCCUAAAGAAAAAUCAAUAGAAACGUUCACAUAAAGCACAAAGUUAGUAGUAAAUAUGACUUCUGUUUCAAUCAACAAAUCUAUCAAAGCCAGUCAUCAUCGACCAUUGGAGGAUGACAAAAUGGCAGAGUUAGAAUUUCCCCGAGUUAUGAUAAUCCGGAUCAAAGCAAUUGUCAUCAGAAGGGUCCUUCAAAAAAUCAUCUGGGGGGCAUUCAUUUAACUGUUCAAAUUUCAUAUCGCUCUCCAAAGCUUGAAAUGGUCUUGCUGCUCCAUCUGAUGAUGAUUCUGCCACUUGAUUAGAACUCUGAUUAGAAGUAGCAAACAUAUGUUGAUGAGGAAAUGUCUGGAAAGGUCUUGCUGCUACUGCUGAUGAUGAUUCUGCAGGUUGAUUAGGAUUCCGAUUUGAAGUAGUAAACAUAUGUUGACGAGGAUAUGCCUGGAAAGGUCUUGCCCUUGCUGCUGCUGCUGAUGAUUCGGCAGCUUCAUUAGGAUUCUGAUUAGCAGUAGGAAUCAUUAGAUGUUGAGUCCAUGGAGAGCGCUGCCCCAAAGGAUUGUUAUACGAAUAUGGAACAAUUGCAGGGAACCUUCCUUGAGAAACUGAAAUCGAAACAUUUUGAUUAGUCAUUCCAGGGAACCUUCCUUGAGAAUCUGAAACAUCGUGAAUAGCCAAUCGAGGGAGCCUUCCUUGAGAAUAGGGAACAUUGUGAUUAGGCAUUCCAGUGAUCCUGCCUUGAGCAUAUGGAACAUUGUAAUUAGGCAUUUCAGGAACCCUGCCUUGAGAAUAUGGGACAUCGUGAUUAACAAAGUGGCUCUGAUGAUAAAUAAAAGUAUCAUCAUAUGAAUUGAGAAAUCCUCCCUGAUUGUAGCAACCAGACAUAUCAAUGAUUCGAGGACCUUCAGGACCGUGAGGCAUGAAAAUUUCACUGGGCAGCGUAGCAGAGUCUUCAACUCCCAUAUCAAUGGCUCCAUUAUCCUGAAAUUCAGUGUCUGAUUGUGGAUCAUCUUGGCCUGAAAUUGAAUCAUCCCGUUGCGAAGUUGAAGGUCUUGAAGACGACAGCUUAGAUCUAUCCUGGUCCCUUUUCUUAUAUAUCUUACAGAGUACCCAAUCAUCUAACUGCAAUCAACAAAAUAUAUAAAAGCAAAACUCAUCAGCAAACCAACAUUGUAAAAUCGCUGGAACACUUCACAUAUGAUACUGAAAGAAACCACAAAAUUUAGUUACCCUCAUGUCAUCUCCGCUGAUUCUGGUCCUUGGAGGACCCUCCAAUCUAAAUUCAUGCAUUAUCCAUUCAGUUUUAUCUCCCCUUGGGGGUUUUCCCAUGUAGAAGACCAAUGCCUUCUUGAAUCCAACGACAACUUCGUCGUUUUUGAUAGGUUUGUCAGCUCCGGUAGCCUUCCAGAAUCCAUCUCCAGCGGCUCUAUUGGGUCUUGUCCCGUUUUUGUACUUUCUCUCUCUUGGAGUAAAAAAGUACCAUUCAUUUUCACCAAAAGGCUUAUACUUUUCUGUGCAUUAUUAAUACAGAAUCAUCGUCGUAUCAAUCACCCAAAAAAUAAAAAAUAAAAAACUUAUACUUCCUGAUUCAUUAUUUGGAAUACGGAACAAUAUCAACAUCAAUAUUUUUGGUCUUUGUUUUGGGUACAUACCGAGUACCAAACUACGAGACCAUACGUAGAAAAUUAAAUCACCAUUCAACAACGCAAAGAAGUAACUUUUGACUCAAGAAACUGAAGAGCAAACCAUUUUAUGUCAAGAAACUCAAGAAAUUCCCACUGCUAUAACAAAUGAACUCAAGAAAAGCACUAAGAACAUUACCAAAGUACGAAAACAAAUCAAGUUAUGAGACCAUAUGUACAACGAACGCAAAGGAAACACUUCUAACUCAAGAAACUAAACUAUUUCAAGAAACUCAAGAAGUUACACUCUAAUUAAUAACCAAAUGAACUCAAGAAAAAGAAAGAACUUAAUAUGCGUAAGUGCAUUAUUUAAUUUAAAGAAAACUACCAGCAAGGCAAUUGCAGAAAAACAAAAGAAACAAAAAAGAGAAACGGGGUGGUGGGUAUUUUUAACCUGAAAGUGUGUCAGGAUUAAAUUUGUACAAGUGAACUUCCUUAAUCCGAUUUGGUGGCAAAGGUUCAUUCAUUCUCUUCCUCCGCAAGUAAUGAACUAGAAGCUCUGUGUCGUGAGGCUUGAACCUGUAACCAGGAGGAAAGCUAUCAUCGAACUCAGGACCCUGAGCAGCAUUCAUCCGAUUCUUAACUGGUGGUGAAGCAUCAUGAAUAUGAUCUAUUGGCCUUUUUCCUUUGGGGCCUUGGCCAUUAGGGUUUUUACCAUUGCGGUCAUGGCCAUUGGGGUCUUGGUCCUUAUCUCCCUGCUUCCGGUCUGGCAUUGAUAACUUUUACCGAAACUUGAAGGAGACGCUGCUCUAAGUAUAAAAUUGACCUCACAAGAAUAUUUGUUGUGAUCAGAUACAUGGGGGCUUAUUUUAUACUAAUAUUUUUGGAUUAUAUAAUAUUAAGUGAAGUAGAUACUUUUUCCAACUGAUCGGUUUAUCAAACAGUUUUCGGGAGGUGAUUUAGUUGCUGGCAUUGAAGCUGAUGUGGUGAAAUCUGAUAGUUUCUGCUGAUGUAGUUGAUUGAGAAGCAGUAAAAUUCUUCAAAGUAGAAGUAGAAUAGAAGUUAUUUUACUGCCGUAUCUUUUAGCAAAAUGAGAGAAUAUAGGAUAGCUUCUUGUUCAUUUAAUGCAAUCCUUAGCAUAAUCCAACAUAUUUGCUCCUUUCGAGCGCUGUAGCUGCAAUAGUUCGGCGGAAUUUAAAAAAAAAAAUUGAUACAUAAACAAGAAGGACAGACGAUAUGACCCGAUUUUCUAUUUUUAUUAACAUAUUUUUAGUUCUCCAAAUUGAUCUUACAUUAGCUAUAUACAUAAUUUAAUGUAAUUCUGGAUAAAUAGUUGGUGCAUGUAAUUUCAUAAAUAUAUAUUUCAACCAAGCUAACUGAAUAAUAGGGAUGAAAAUGAAGAAUUAGGAGGUCUAGCAUGGAUUAUUUUGCGGGUGGCACUACAAGAAGGAGGAGUUUUAUGUGAUCGCUCUGCAGUCACAAAUGACCUUUUGUGACUGCUUUGUGGCGGUAACAAGGAGUCAUUUACGCAGGCAUCCCGAAAGUUUUGUUACCGCAUAGUCGCAUACUUUACUACAGCCUAUUUUCUGCAGUUAGGUCCUUGUAGGGCGUUAUGGGCAAUUUUGUCAUCCAAAAUAUUGACGAAAUAAGAUGGGUAUGUUAAGAACUUGGCCCAAAGAUUAACUCGCACGGCCCAGUAUGAGUGCAGUGGUUGGACUAACCCCGGCAUCCGAAUUAAUUUUCCACAUUAAAAUUUGGGAAAAAAAAAAAAAGAAAUUGAACAUGUUUCCUCCCAAGGAACCUGUUAAUUGAUGGCAGUCGAUUCUGACUGCAUUUUCUCACAACUUCGUUCUCAGACAUUUCAUCUGCGAAUUGCGGCUGGAAUCUGAUAUUAAUUUACUAAGUUUGGAAUUUUUUUUUUUGUCUUAACCACGAGAUCUUUUGGGGAGUGCCCCAACUGUGGGAGACACUAUUAAACAUGUACCACAAUCCAAACUAAAAGUCCCUGCUCGAACCGGGAGGCACAUGUUCUCCCAACAAAGGCGACUUCCCUGCGACUCGAACUGGGGAGCAAACCCAAUCAAGGCACUUAAGGGAACUCCAUUACCAGUGGAGCCAACACUUUGUUGGUACUAAGUUUGGAAUUUAGUUUGUAGUAAGGUAGCAUUUUUUUUUAAGUCUGAAAUCAGAAUGAAUCUGAAUUUUUCAGAAGUCUGAAUGGAUCUAAAUUAGAAAAUUUAAAUGAAAUGUUUAGAUUUCUUGUUUUUAAUAUUUGAUUAUAAAUGACAUCUUAUUUAUUUUUAUAACAAAAAAAGGUCUUAAACUUGGUUCUUUGAUAUUUAUAUCCUCAUAGAUUAAAACAAAAAAGGAUUAAAUCUUAUAGUUGAGGAAAUAAACUAUUUUAUAAAGAUAUUUUUGUAAUAUAAUAUUUAUUUUUCAUUCAAACAUUUUCCAUUCAAAUAAAAGAUAUAAAAAGUUAUUUUUUCUAUUCAAAUAUAAAUGUCUGAAAAUCAGACAUAUAUCACAAAAACAAAUAAGAAACUGCUAAAGUUUAAUAAACAAUCUCUAAGUUAUAUUUUCUCGUGUAUUGAUAAGAGUAAAUGCAUAUGACAUUUGCUAAAGGAAACUCAAAAAGGUUUUAAGCUUUUUUUUUUUUUUUGACCACGAGGUAUCCUGGAGAGGGCCCCAACUGUAGGAGGCACCUUUAAGCCCGUACCAUAACCCAAACUAGAAGUCCCCGCUCGAACCAAGAGGCACAAGUUCUCCCAACAAAUGCGACUUCCCUGCGACUCGAACUGGGGAGCAAACCCAAUCAAGCCACUUAAGGGGACUCAAUUGCCAAUGGAGCCAACACUUUGUUGGUAAAGGUUUUAAGCUUUUAACAUUACUUUCAAAGGCCAUUCUGCAGCUCCGUUAGUUCAUCAUAUCACACGGCUUCAUAAUGUCUAUAGAUUGAAUUGAGUUUCUUGUUUCUCCAACUCAAAUUUUUAGUCUCCUUUAUGAUAGGGUUGUGGUGGCAGGGAUAAAACAUUGCGCUCUAUCUUAAAGAAUAUUUAGUUAUCAAUAUCUAAGGAGAUUGAGGAGAAAAAUUUAUCUCAAAAUGACAAGAAGAAGAAAAAAUAAAAGUACAUCGGAGGUACAUCGUUCAUAAAGAAUUUAAAAAUCAUAGAGCUUCAACAAUAUAUAGUAGCCGUGCAGUUUAUGCUCCUUUUUGUGAUAUAUAUGGCUUAUUACAUUCAUAAAAAAUUGUUCCGUUACAUUUUUUCCAUUGGGAUUUAAGGAAAAAAAAUUCUGAAAACAGCUCUUGAAUUGGAAUUAAGAGAGAUAAAAGAAACAACUCAAGCUUUGAGGCAAACAAAGAAUAUGAUCGUCACGUAAAUAAUUUGGUAUUCUAGGAAACUAUGUAUAUAAUUUUAGUGAUUAGAAAAUCUUGUUCAAAGAGCGUUACAACUGAAAACUGUGAGAAAUAAUCAGUUGUACUGUCAAAGUUGAGUUACAAAUAUUUUAAAUAUUUUGAUAAUGGUAACAGAAUUAGUACCAAAAAGCUAAAGCAAAUGGAGCCUUAGCAUACCACCCAUAGAAAUAGCAACUCUCCUUGAAUAUCCAUGCUGCUGACAUUCAUAUAAAUAACAAUCAAAGUACACAGAAUUGCGAGAAAAAUUGAGUUCAAGAAAACCGACCUCUACUAAAGUACACUCUAACUAACUUAUUAUAAAUGCCAAUUAAUGUCAGCUACCAUUAACUAAUCGAAUCACAAAAUGAAAAGAGUUAGAAGUUCGUAAAACAAUUGUCUUCCGAAGGGAGAUCACUAAACGGCAGAUAUCCGAACUCUUCAGGCUUCAUAGGGCUCUCCCACGUAGGAUUAUGAUGAAGCAUUUGCUGAAACCCCAACUGAGGGACUAAAGGAAGCCAAUUCUGAGAAUUACCCUGAUGACCAUCCUGAAAAUUAGCAUAUGGACUCUGACAAGAUAAAAGGACAUUAUCAUAUGCGCUGAAGAAUCUUCCCUGGUUGUAGUAAUCAGGCACAUCAAAGAUUCCAAGGCCUUCAGGCUUGAAAAUUUCUGUUUUGGGCAGCAUUUUAGCCUUUUCGUCAACUGAAAUUUGUUCACUAUCUUGAGAUUGAGUUGCAACUUCGCUUCUUGAUUGUUGAUCCUCCUCUGAAUUCUCUCGUUUUCGAGUAGAAGCUUUCGCUGACUGCUUUGUUUUCUUAUAGAUCCUACAGAGAACCCAGUCAUCUAACUGCAAGGGACAUGUAUGCAGCAGAAAUUAGUCAAAUAAAACCAAAAAAAAGAAUAAAAUAAAAAUGAAUUUGGACAACAAGGAAAAUCAUUCUACCCUCAUAUCAUUUCGGCCUUUUUGUUUCUGUGGUGGAUUAUUCACUAUGUAUUCAUGCAUGAUCCAGUUAGUCUUAUCACCCUUUGGAGCUUUUCCCUUGUAGAAGACCAAUGCCUUCUUGAAUCCAACCAAACUGUCAUUGUGCUUAACAGGUUUAUCUGCUCCUGUGGCCUUCCAGUACCCAUCUGCAGCAGCUCGAUUGGGUCUUAGACCAUUUCGAUACUUUCUAUCUCUUGGUGUAAAGAAAUACCAUUCCAUUUCACCAAGUGACUUGUACCUUUCUGUAAAUCAUUGCAUCAAUGGACAGAAUAAAAGAAAUUUCAUAAAGAUAUCAUGAAGAAAAUAUAGACAAACUAAUACGAAAGAAAGACCAUAUUAUAAAUGUUUUGAAUAUAAGGGGAUUAAAUUUUAUAUGCUGAUUUACAAUACCAUCUAAAUCUAAAAUCAUAUCUGAUGUAAAAUCCCAUCACAUUAAAACAUACACUGUAAUAUUAUAUUUGUAAUGGCAUAAACAUCUAUCAUGAAAAAGAGUAGAGAAACCACAACUAUUCAAAGCCAAAGCAAAGAUUACAAAAUUUGAAUAAUGAAGAGGAACUACACCAUUUUAACUAACGAGACUCAGAAAAUUUCCAUUCUAAUGAAUAAUAAUCUCGAGAAAUAAGCAAUAAACAGAUUUUUUUUAAAAAAAAAUUAAUCAUAUAUGAUGCGUGCCAAUAAAACAACAUACAACACAGAAAUUAAGAAAAUAAGAAAUUAAAAGUGUCUUUUUUUUCCCUCCUAACCUGUAAGUGUGUUAGGAUUAAACCUAUACAACUCCACCACCUUGAUCUGGUUUGGUGGCAAUGGCUGAUUCAGUAUCUUCCUCCGCAAGUAAUAAACCACAAGUUCUCCAUCGUGGGGUUUGAAUCGGUAACCAGGUGGGAAUGAAUCAAAAUAAGAAUCAUCAGCGAUCAGAUGAUGACCAGUACUCUUCACAGGAUGCCGUACAAGUGAAGCAUCGUCACUUUGCUUUUUAGGGCUUUCUCCAUUAGGGUUUUCUCCACAAGGGUUUUGACCAUUAGGGUUUUUCCCUUCAACCCCCAGCUGCUCCUUCUGUUUUUGGUCCUUCAUGCAGGACUUAGGAAAAUGAUGCAGAUGAAAAAUGAACCAAAUAGAAGUGAUAGCUAGCUACUUUGUUCGUUGUGAUAAGAUUUAUGUGACUUCAUACAAAUAUUUUGGGAUAUCAGGUAGCUAUUAUUUCUAAUUUGAUUAAUUGAAGUUUUACUUUUGUGUUUAUCAAAUAAGUGUAAAGUUAUCUUUUUGCCACGUGUAAAUGAUGCUGGCGCCUAAGAUGUCGGGGAAACGUGGCGGUGAAUUUCAGUUGAUGGAGCUAAUUUGGAGGAGUCAAUAUCUGUCAACACAUUUAAAGGUAAAGUUUAAUUUCAAAACAUUAAAAAGAGGCAAGUUUGGGAUUGAGUUGCUACAAAAGUUAUUAAUAUUAAUUAUUACUGUGUAAAUGUUUGAUAAAAAUAUUAGCUGUUAAGUUAAUUAUGUAAAUAUGACAGCUCAAACUAUUCCGAAAUUGUUUUGCUCUUUAUAUUCAUAUCAUCUUGCUAAAACUUUACUAUCAUUUAACAGUAAUUAACGAUGAGCACCAUUGAAUUUAGUUAGAUCAAAUUGUAGGCUAAAUUGAAGUUCUCAAAAUUCAUAUAAACAGAUUAUAUCUAGACACAAUAUGUAAAAAGCUAGCGUGGUUGUGCAACUCAAGAUCCAAUUGAAGUCAAAGGUUUCAAUUUAUAAGAUUCAUUAUGUCUCCUCAUGAAUCAUGACCAAGUAAAUAAUUCUUCUUUUUUAGUUAAAAUUUUCGUAUUGUCAAGAUUACUAGAAAGAAAAGUGAAGAAAUAUAUAUAUAUAUAUUAAGACUUGUUGUUUUAAUCUUAAGAUAAGAUUUUGAACACCCUGCUCAUUUUCUUAAGCAUAUUUUGGGACUAUUCUAAGUACGGAAACUGCUCCAAAGUCAUCCUAAUCACAUAGGGCUGAGCCCAGCCGGUCAGUAGAUGCGGAAACUAUAUAGAGUGGUCAAAAAGCACCCAUCAGCCAAAAUUUCAACGUGUUAAUAAACCAUGCUUAGGGCUGUCACUUGUGUGACAUGCAUAAAUCCGCAUUUUCGCAGUUUCUUUUCACUAAUUUCAGUCUUUGCCAUCUGUUUCCCGCUCUUGCUCUUUGCCCCACAAGUGCUAGCCUAAUCCUUGACUCUAACUCUUCCCCAUCAUCUAUCUUAUCUCUUAAAAUUUUCAUUUUUCUUUUUCCAAAUGGCAAAUCGCUUCUUUCUUUUCGUCUCUAUAAAAAUCCAAAACUAUAACAAAAUUUUAAAUAUCGCACAAUGGCUGCGGCUAAAUCACUAGUAGUGCUGAUAAUGCUGUCUGCUUUAUUAUCUAACUCUUUUGUGUUAGUUUUACCAGCUAGUAAUUUUUAUCAAGAUUUUGACAUCAUAUGGGGAAUUGACAAGGUCAGGAUUCGCAACGAUGGAGAAGUCCUCAAUCUUUACCUUGGCAAAGACACAGGCUCAGGUUUCCAGUCCAAGAAUGAGUAUCUAUUUGGCAAAAUUGACAUGCAAUUCAAGCUUGUCCCAGGCAACUCUGCUGGCACUGUCACAUCUUACUAUGUAAGGCGUAAGCUGCCAGUGAUCUUGCACGAAAAUGUUUUUCUCUUUAAGAGUAAGCUUAUUUUUAAUUCUGUGUUAUAGUUGUCAUCACAAGGAUCAACAUGGGAUGAGAUAGACUUUGAGUUCUUGGGAAAUCUCAGUGGCGAUCCUUAUAUUUUUCACACAAAUGUAAUCACACAAGGCAAAGGUGACAGAGAGCAGCAAUUUUAUCCCUGGUUUGAUCCCACUUCAGAUUUUCACACAUAUUCCAUUCUCUGGAAUCCCAAAACCAUCGUGUAAGAAUUUCAAUCCACUAAUCAUCUCUUGUUGAAAACAAGCAACAAUUCAAGUCACUAAUUAAUCCUCUUCUUUUUUUUAUUAGACGUGUCUCUUUUUUUUGGUUUAAUACUUCAUAUAUUCUUUGGGCUCUUUUGGGUUAAAAAGGCUCUCUAACAUUUUUGUUUAAAAACGUUUUCAGAUUCUAUGUCGAUGGCACACCGAUUAGAGAGUUCAAGAACUUGGAGUCAAUCAACAUUCCUUACCCAAAAAACCAACCAAUGAGAAUACACUCGAGUCUCUGGAACGCUGAUGACUGGGCAACAAGAGGCGGUCUUGUCAAAACAGAUUGGACAAAAGCUCCAUUUACAGCUUCUUGUAGAAACUUUAAUGCCAAAACUUGCAUUCGUUACCCAGCAGGUCCAAUCAUUUCUGCGCCUUGCCCUUCGAAUUCUUCAUCCUCUGCAUGGAUGAAGAUCGAUGAGCUUGAUGAAACAAGCCGAGAGAAACUCAAGUGGGUGCAGAAGAAUUACAUGAUUUAUAAUUAUUGCACAGACACAAAGCGCUUCCCAAAAGGGCCUCCUCCUGAGUGUGCUGUGGCCACGAGUGCUUACAUAGAUUCCGUACGAGUAUAAACAUAUAUAUAAUAACAAUACUUUAUAUCAUAAUUUUGGUAUAGUUAUACAAUACUGGUGUGUUUAUUUCCCUGAUUGGGCGGAAUCAUUAAUAGCAUUUAUUUUAUCAAAUAAGUAUGGGAAUGAAAGACUAAUUCUCAAUGGUUGAUGUUUGGAAAUAAAAAAUCUGUUUCCAUUGAAAUUUUAACAUUCUGAAAAUACCUUCAUUCAAUUAAAAAAAUUUAAAUAAAAAAAAAACCAACAGUAAACAGUCGCUGUAAAUUAAAGCCUCACCGAUUUUCAUCGUCUUCACCAAACUGUCAUUGCAAAAAUCAACGUCAUUGGUCAUCGCUGACCGUUGAGCAGCAGCAAUUGCAGCAACGAUCUAGCAGCAGCAACAAUCACUGAUGAUGAUGUCGACGACGACGAUGAUAUUACGAUCCAGAUCCGAUUCUGAUUUGUUGUUAUCGUUGUUGAUGAUAAAGAUUUGGAUUAUUAUUAUUAUUAUUAUGAUUUUCAAAAUGUAUUAUUAUUACUAUUGAUAAAAAAAUAUUAUAAUUAAUAUAUUAAUGUUAAUGAUAAUAAUAAUAAUAAUAAUAAUAUUUUUAUUAUUAAUAAUUAAUAAUAAUGAUUUCUAAAUAAUAAUAAUCACAAUAAUUAAAAUAUAAAAUAAUAGUUAAUUAAGAAUUUUUUAGUAAUUUAUGACAAUCUAAUUCAUUAUGAUUAUGAUUUCAAGACAAAUUAAACACAUCAAUAAUAAUACAGCUCAUUCUAAUUUUAAUUUCUACAGUUAAAGUAAACAAUUUAUUCUAAUUUUCAUUUCUCAUUUUGAUUUAAGCUCAUUUUGAUUUUCGUUUAGUAAAAGCACCGUAUGUUUCUUGCUUUAGAUCCCGUUAUUUUGUCUGUUUGUGCACUGUGGUCACCGAACUUUUAGGGAAAAGAUUUUAAACAAGAAAAAAGUUUAGUAUAUUUCUCAUUACCAUCGAUAGUACAAUCAAUAAGCAUACAUUUCAUAUGUUAUUGUUAUCAUCAUGAGAGCUUACGGAAUGAAAUAUAUAAUACCCAAAAGAAAAAAAAAGGAAAAAAAACAAUGAUAUAAACUAUAUAGUUAUUUUAAAAGUAACGCACUGCUAAUAUGUACUUAAGAGUAUAUUUGGUAGUGCUUGUAGUUUAUUUCAUGCUCAAACUUUAUGCUGUAAUAUCAAAAUAAAGUUAAAAUAAUAGUAUUGAUGUUGUGUCAGUUAUCAUAUGAAUUAAGAUGCAAAUAUGACUAGAAACGGAUCACGUUGAUAUGGUCUGUGAGAACAUUAGAAGAGUAGAGCUCAAUCUUUUUAAGUCUUUUUGCAUUAAGUUUAUUGAAUUUAUAAUAAAUCAUAUCUGCAUCUUUCCAAUAAAAUUCGUAUUAUAACAUUUCUGAUAUAAAGAAUGACAAAUCUGUCUUUUUAUUUAUGACCACUGCAAAGAAUAGCUCUACAGAGAGCAUAUAAUUGAAUGUAAUAAGUUUACACUGAUUUAUCUGUUGAUUUAAUCGCUUCUUUAGGAGAUUUUUUCAUUUCAAAGGGAGGCCUUGAGGAAAUCUCUUUGCGUCGGUGCAGUAGUUGUAAAUCAUGAAUUUCUUUUGUACCCAUUUCAGCCUUUCUUAACUUGUUGAAUCAAGCUCUUGUGAGAACCAGGAGCCGCCGCUGGAUGGAGAUGAAGGUGAACUUGAAGCACAAGAAGAUAUGCCAUUAGACCAGACACACGCAUCAGCUUUGAAGUUUCUAUAAGAAGCGGCGAAAGAAGCAUGAGUCCAGUGUGUCUUGAUAAGGCCACCUCUUGUAGCCUAGUCAUCAGCAUUCCGUAGAGAAGAGUACAUCGUCAUUGGUUGAUUCUUUGGAAAUGGCACUCCAAUUGAUUCUGAGUUCUUGAAUUCUCUUAUGGGGGUGCCAUCAACAGAGAAGCUGGAAAUUACAAGGAAAAAAGUUAUAAGUCUAAGCAAAUUAACGACAGGGAAAAGAACAUGAUUGGGAUUGAAGGAAAAAAACAGUGCUUACAAAAUGCGCUGAGGAUUCCAGAGGAUGGAAUAGGCAUGAAAAUCAGCAGUAAGGUCAAACCAGAGGUGAAAUUGUUGCUCUCUUUCACCUUUGCCAUUUGUGAAUACAUUGGUGUGCAGAGAGUAAGGGUCACCACUUAAAUUGCCCAAGAAUUCAAAGUCUAUCUCCCCAAGUAAUAUCAAAAUCUUGGUAGAAGUUAGCAGCAGAAGCAACAAUUAGAGAGAAAAUCACAAAACUGACCAUCAACAUGGACGGUAUAUAUGAAGAUCUUAGAAAGCAAGCCACGGGAAUGUUUUGCAUGUGAACAGUAUUAGAAAUGUCAAAGAAUCUGAAAUGACGAGAAGGUUGUGCUUAGUUGGUGUUUUUAUACAAGAAGUUUAGGCAUAGUUGAACGGAGAGAAGAUACACAGGAAACUUCAAUACGUUUUGGUAAUAGUUGGCAAAGUAAUGUAGCAAAUGACUGUUCAUUAAAAUGGCGCAGACCAAGUUUUCCAGACGCGGUUUUGCUUGAUUUGUUAAUUGUUUAUAAAGAAAGGGAAGACAAGGCGCGGCCCAGUUCCCUUUUUAAAAACAAACAUUCAUUUUACAUACAGUUAGGUCCAAGUGAAUGGCAAGCGAAACCCACCGCCGUCUCGCGUGUUAGACAACGCCAGUAACAUACAAAUUGAGUAAUGUCGUGCGGUUAUUGCUAACUCAAUUCGGAUAUUUAGUUUGUCUCCUACUUAAUAUCACAUUUUAUGUAUCAUUUAUUAAUUAGGUUGAUAAAAAAUAAUUAAUAAUAAAACAAAUAAAUACUAUAUACAUGACAAUAAAAGAUUAAUUUUAGAGUUACUAAAUUAAGAAUUCAAACAGAAUAAAUAUAACAUAAUUGUCACUUGGGUUAACACAGAAUUGCUAGUGAGAAGAAUUUUCAAUUCUGGAAUUUCUUAACAAGUUCUAUGUUAUUCUUAGUAUUAUUAUAAUAUUAGUUAUUUGCUCUUGAUUUGAGAAUCAAUAAAAAAAAAAAAAAGCUGAAAAUCUGAAGAGAGGGUCACAUUAUGUGAAUUCAACUGUCUUCAGUAGUGGCGGUGGGAAAAUCUAAUAAGAGUCGGCUGGUCGUGGGACCAGGACAGCGGGAGAUACUAAACUAAACGGAAGUCGUUUGGUCCCAAAAAUAAUGCAAAAACCGCGUGCUAUAAUAAAAUAUGGCUGGUCGGAUAAUGCUUGUUAGUGCGGUAUGUACAGCUAUUUUAUUAUACUUUUUUCAAGCCAACAACUGUCCACAGCCGAGCUCACUGGACCUUUCCCUGCACUUUCCUCUGCAUUUUACAUUCCCCACCUUCACCAGCUAUAAAUACAACACAAUGGUCUUAAACACAUUCAUCGCUCCAGUUUCGAAUUAUCAACUUCUCUCUGUUCAUUCAAACACUACUUGUACCUCGUUUGCUCAAGCAUAUGUCUAUGGCUUCGAUGUUGCAUUUGUUUCUUGUGCUUGGCUCUUUGAUGGCUGCCUCUGCUGGUAACUUCUACAAAGAUUUUGACAUCACCUGGGGAGAUGGCCGUGCCAAGAUGCUCAACAAUGGCGACCUUCUUACUCUUUCCCUCGAUAAAGCUUCUGGCUCAGGAUUCCAGUCCAAGAAUGAGUAUCUAUAUGGCAAGAUUGACAUGCAGCUCAAGCUUGUCCCUGGCAACUCUGCUGGCACAGUCACUGCUUAUUACGUAAGUUCCUCCUUUUAAUACAACUUAAUCAUACGCAAGUAUUAUGUUUGCAAAAGGGCUCGUAGUUGAAUAAUCAUAUGUGAUGAUACAUAUAAAUAUCUUCUUUUUUUUUUUUCUAAUGCAGCUAAAAUCACCGGGAUCAACAUGGGAUGAGAUAGACUUUGAAUUCCUGGGAAAUUCAAGUGGUGACCCUUACACUCUUCAUACCAAUGUAUUUACAAAUGGCAAAGGUGACAGAGAGCAACAAUUUCACCUCUGGUUUGACCCCACUGCUGACUUUCACACCUAUUCUAUCCUCUGGAAUCCUCAGCGCAUUAUGUAAGCAAUAUUUUCCUUCAAUCUCCAUCGUUUGUUUUUUCCUUGUCGUUCAAUCUGCUUAGACUUAUCAAUGUUUACUUAAUUUUCAGCUUCUCUGUUGAUGGCACCCCAAUAAGAGAAUUUAAGAACUCAGAGUCAAUUGGCGUUCCAUUCCCAAAGAAUCAGCCAAUGAGAAUAUACUCUUCUCUUUGGAAUGCUGAUGACUGGGCCACAAGAGGUGGCCUCGUGAAGACAGAUUGGACGCAUGCUCCUUUCACUGCUUCCUACAGAAACUUUAAUGCUGAAGCUUGUGUUUGGUCUAAUGGAAAAUCUUCUUGCGCUUCAAAUUCUGCUUCCUCUACAUCCAGCAACGGUGCUUGGUUCUCACAAGAGCUAGAUUCAACAAAUCAAAAUAGGCUGAAAUGGGUGCAGAAGAAUUACAUGAUUUACAAUUACUGCACUGAUACAAAGAGAUUUCCUCAGGGCCUUCCUGCAGAAUGCAGAAUCUCCUAGAGAAAAUAAUCAACAAGACACUUAAAAAUUAUUUUAUUCUUUCGUGUAAUCAUUCAAUGGUUAUUCAAUUCAUGUAGAUUCUGGAGUCAGAUUCUUUGUUUCUCUGUAAUCAAUAAAAUGGCAUGUUAGUCCAAUUUUUACCAUAUGUAACACUGGUUAAUGAAUUUAAAAAAGGAUAAUGUUAUGCGUACUUGCGUGGUAUACAAAUUAAGUAUGCUAACUAAGUAAACAUAAUAUUACUAUUUCAAAAGAUUUUGUUCUUCUUUGUUGUUAUUCUUCGUAAGCUUUAGCAUAUAGUUAUAAGCCUAAUUAAAGGUAUUGACAUGAUGACUCAUUAAUAAAGCUUUUAGACCCUAGAUUGGAAUAUGAAGAAUUAUCGAGGAAGCAUGAAGAUAAAAGAGCAAAUGAGUCUCCACCAGAAUGAGAAGAAAAUGUACUGCGCGUGGGCGUUACCGUAUUUGUGUCAAUCGAGGAGAAAUUUUGGCCAUUGAUUAGUAUUUGAUAAGGCAGUAAAAGGGUAAAAUGGCAAAAAUAAAAUUAAAAAAACUAACCGAGUGAACUUACACAAGUCGAUGAGGAAGAGUGAUGCAUACCGUUAUUGGAUGAGGAAUGUGCUUGUUAAUUAACAAUGAGAGAUUGAUAGGAGGACAAGGUGCGAGCCAGCUCUCGAGUGUUGAUAUUUCAAGGCGAGCCAACCUCGCCAUGCCACCACCGCCUUUCCAGUUAAACAAAUAAAACAUUCUCUAGUAUAAGUGGUAGUAUACAAAACAGCAAAAUCUUCAGUCCGUUCGAUUUAAAUACCAAUAUCUAUAAAUUCCUUAAUAAUAAUAAUAAGCAUAUCUUCCAAUUCCAUAUGCGUUUUAUUACACAGGAAAUCACCAGGAAGUAUGUGUUAUCAAUUAACCUAAAAUUAGGAUACAAAUUCACAGUUUCAUGUUACUAGGAAGCAUCUGUAUCGGAAAUAUAGGGAUACAUAUUUCUUAGAUGUUAGAUCCAUGUUUCAUGUUAGGGACUCCAGUAAAGACUUGUCUUUAAUUUUCUUGGGUCAAGCCAUUUUCGUUUUUACAUAGCAAAGGUUUCUUGUUCAAAUCUCAGCGUGCUCAAUUUUUUGCGAAUAACACACGUAUAUGUUUCAAUUCUUGUAUGUUCAAGAACCUCUAAUUCAAUCUCCUAUCUCCGCUUUUGGAACGACAUGACCUUCAAACUGGAUCCAUGUUUCACACGGGCAGGUCUUUCAACACUUUAAUGCUAUUUUCUGGACUCCUGUUUAACGUCUUAAGCUUUUGAACCAAAUGAUUUCCUGAUAAUAAAUAUAGUUAUAAAAAAAAAUCUGUUAAUUAAGUACGUCAUUGAACAAUUUUUUUUCUUUUUCUUUUGAGCAUAAAAUGGAAAAAAAAAAUCUCGAGAGAGAAGAGCACCCAGUGAAUUCUACAUUUUCUUUUUUGUGUUUUGACUGGCGGUGGUUGGAAAAAAAAAAAAAUCUAAUAAGAGUCAGCCGGUGGUGGGAACAGAACAGCAGUACAUAAUAAGUACUUGAGUCUCAAAAGUAAUGCAAAGCCGCGUAUUGUAAUAAAAAAAAAAGUCCCUGUUGUAGCGUGUUCUGUUAGUGCGAUUCGGACAGCUGUUUUUAUUUCAUCACGCUAUUUUACGCAAACAACUGGCCACAGCUGAAGCUGAACUAACUGGAGCUUCCCAUUACUUUCCUCUGCUUUCGUUAUACUCACCUUCACCAGCUCAAUCAAGCUAUAAAUACCAAACCCUGGUGAGAUCCCAAACACACUCAUCGCUUCACUUUCAAAAAUUUCAAACUUCUCUCCAACUCAAAUUCUUCUAUCUUGUUGUUGCUCAGACGAAAGCUUCCAUGGCUUCAGUAUUGCAUCUGUCGCUGCUGCUUCUUGGCUCUUUGAUGGUUGCCUCUGCUGGUAACUUCCACCAAGAUUUUGAUAUCACUUGGGGAGACGGGCGUGCUAAUAUACUCAACAACGGCCAGCUUCUUACUCUUUCCCUUGAUAAAGCCUCUGGCUCCGGCUUCCAGUCCAAGAAUGAGUAUCUAUUCGGCAAGAUUGAUAUGCAACUCAAACUAGUCCCUGGCAACUCUGCCGGCACUGUCACUGCUUAUUAUGUAAGUUCCUGCCUUUAUAUGAAUAAACAAUAUGCAUGUUUGAUCAUCACCCUUUAUAUGAAUAAACAAUAUGCAUGUUUGAUCAUCAUGUAUCUGACAUAUAGACCUUUGAUUUUUUGUUCACGCAGUUAAAAUCGCCAGGAUCAACAUGGGAUGAGAUAGACUUCGAGUUCUUGGGGAAUUUAAGUGGUGACCCUUACACUCUGCAUACCAAUGUAUUCACAAAUGGCAAAGGUGACAAAGAACAACAAUUUCACCUCUGGUUUGACCCCACUGCUGACUUUCACACCUAUUCUAUCCUCUGGAAUCCUCAGCGCAUUGUGUAAGCAAUAUUUUCCUUCAAUCUCCAUCAUUUCUUCUUUCCUUGUCAUUCAAUCUGCUUAGACUUAUCAAUGUUUACUUAAUUUUCAGCUUCUCUGUGGAUGGUACUCCCAUAAGAGAGUUCAAGAACUCAGAGUCAAUUGGAGUUGCAUUCCCAAAGAAUCAGCCAAUGAGAAUAUACUCAUCUCUCUGGAAUGCUGAUGACUGGGCUACAAGAGGUGGCCUUGUCAAGACAGAUUGGACGCAUGCUCCCUUCACGGCUUCCUACAGAAACUUCAACGCUGAUGCCUGUGUCUGGUCUAAUGGAAAAUCUUCUUGCGCUUCAAGUUCACCUUCCUCUCCAUCCAGCAGCAGUGCCUGGUUCUCACAAGAGCUUGAUUCAACAAGUCAAGAAAGGCUGAAAUGGGUGCAGAAGAAUUACAUGAUUUACAAUUAUUGCGCUGAUGCAAAGAGAUUUCCCCAGGGACUCCCUGCAGAAUGCAGAACCUCUUAGAAGUUUUGCAAAAUCAACACAUACAUCAAAAAAAUUUAUUCUUUUUGUCAAUUCUUUGAUUCUUUGUUGUAUUUUGUCGUCAAUAAAAUGGCAAAUUAGUCCAACUUUCUCAAUGUAAUACAAAAUUUAGCAUAUAAAUAUCAUGAGAUUAUGUUCUCUACUCUUCGCAUGCUUGCUAUAUGUUCUUCUUUGGCUAGGUUUUAACGUAGAAACGACCAAACCUCUUCACAUAUGCAAUGGUACUCUAAAUUUUUGACUGACUUAACGGGUAAGGACUAGCAAAAUAUUCUAUUGCCAUUAAAACGACUUCUCUCAUUUGGGACUUUUAUCAAACAUCUUGCAAGCAAACGAUUAAAAUUCACCGACACCCACUCCGAGAUUUUUUUUUUAAUGUCCUGUUAAAAUAGUACACCCAACAGUAACAUGACAAUAAAAAGAUAAAUCAAGAACAAAUACAAUCACAAUUGUAUCCAGUUAUUUAAUUCUUAUAUUCAUCUUUGAUUCUUUCAUGUAGUAUUCAUGCAUGUUCACAAAUUUAGGAUCCAAGCUUUAUGGCAUUUUGGGAUUGAGCAUCUUCUUGAUUGGGGGCGUGAACGGUUAAUACACCUAAUAAUUGCAACCUUUGGUUUUCUCAAUCAAAUAAUAAUAAUAAUAACAUAAAGGGACUUGGAUGUAAAUAGAACAUACAGUAUGGACGUCCGACGUCCCCAGAUUUUACAUUUUUGGUGAAUUUCAACAAUUACCAAAAAGAUCAAAUAAUAAUAAUAAUAAUAAAUGAAAAGAUAUAUAUUUAUUUCUAAAAGAACAUUAACUAAGCUCACCAUGUUUGUUAAAUUUGUCAAUUAUCAACAUUUAUGCUAUACAAAUCACAAACUUCAUAACUGAUUCAAGUCAUAUAUUAAUGCAACAAAUAAAAAAAUAUAAUAAAUUUAAAAAAUAAUAAUAAUAAAUUAAAAUAGAAAAUUAGAACGAUAGCACGUAAAAGGUUGAUUAGUUGAGAUGAAUAUGAUAGUCAAAUGUUAGAUGCUGGCAAUGAAGUUUAUAGGGAAGAUUAGAAUAAUAUUCCGAGUAGAUAUGAGAGAAAUUUUUUUUGGGUGAGUAUCAUUGAUUCAAUAUCUAUUAGUUUUGAAGUUUGAAAUAGAAUGAAUAGAAUACUAGAUGUUUUAAAAUCUAACAUUUAUAAUUUUAAUAGAGUAGUUAUUUUUGGGAAAGGGAAAACGUUGAAUUUUUUUCUUGUAAUUAUUAACCAAAUAAAGUUUCAAAGGCUUAGAAUAAUUAUUAUACCAUAAAUAUCACAUUUUUAUAAAAAAAAUUAUUUUUAAAGUAAAGAUUAUUAAAUAUAGAGAUAAUUAUGAAUGAGAAUAAUAAUAGGGAGAUUCCUAAAAAUUAAAUUUUCCUUCAAUAUAUACGCAACUUUAAAAAAUUAGAAUCUUAAAAUAAAUAUUAUUAUUAUGUUAAUAAAUAGCUAUUCAAAAUACAAAACCAGCCGACUACCUAAUUCGGAUAGUGCUAAAGGCAUCCCUCACUACUAAUUAGCUUACAUUUUAUCAUUUAAUGUUAUGUUAUACAAGACAGCUCCUGUACCUAGGCGCUAAAGUUUUUGGAACAGCCAGCUUUAAUGGACAGCGCAUUCUUUGGGAAAGCCCUGGGGAAAUCGCUUGGUGUCAGUGCAGUAAUUGUAAAUCAUGUGAUUCUUCCGCACCCAGUAAAGCCUCCGUUGGUUUGUGGAAUCCAUUUGUUGCAAGAGCCAGGCACGGCUACCAUCAACCUUGAAAUUUCUGUAAGAAGCAGUGAAAGGAGCUUGGCUCCAAUCCGUCUUGAUUAGCCCACCUCUUGUAGCCCAGUCAUCAGCAUUCCAAAGAGAUGAGUAUAUUCUCAUUGGCUGAUUCUUUGGUAAUGGAACGCCUAUAGCCUCCAGGUUUCUGAACUCUCUAAUUGGAAUACCAUCAACAGAGAAGCUGAAAUAAUGCAAUUAAUUGAACAACACAAGUCAAUAAAAUUGUAGAAGCGAAUGACAUACUAAUAAGAGAGAAAUGGACUUUACACAAUGCGUUGAGGAUUCCAGAGAACUGAAUAAGUGUGAAAGUUGACUGUGGGGUCAAACCAGAGAUGAAAUUGCUGCUCUCUGUCACCCUUGCCUUGGCUGUACACAUUUGUGUGAACUGUGUACGGAUGACCACUGAGGUUUCCCAAGAAUACAAAGUCUAUCUCAUCCCAUGUUGGUCCUUGUGAGCGUAGCUACAACAUCAAAGACUCUCAUAAUUAAUAUUAAUUAGCAUCAUUACAAAGAAAUCAAUGAAAACAGCAGGUGUUGAUAAAAAGAAAAGCGUACAUAAUAAGCAGUGACAGUGCCAGCAGAGUUGCGAGGGACAAGCUUGAGUUGCAUAUCAAUCUUGCCGAAUAAGUAUUGUUUCUUGGACUGGAAGCCUGAGCCAGAGUAAUGGUCGAGAUUGAGAGUAAGCAGUUGGCCGUUGUUGAAUAUUUUCCCAUGACCAUCUCCCCAUGUGAUAUCAAAUUCCUCAUUGAAAUUACCAGCAGAAACAGCAGCUAAACGCCCAACAAAAGUACACAUCAUCACCCCAAACGAAUCAGAACCCAUAUCUUUCAGGAUUUUGGGAUCUGGAGCUCGCUAUACUGAAUAGUGCAUAAAUUAUUACUAGUUUUGCAUGGAUGUAAUGUAAUAUUAUAUAGGGGAUUGGAGUAUAGAAAUGGACAAAAGAGAGUGAAGAAGAGGGUGCGUUUGGAUGGUUGUUUCAUGUUUGCCGUUUCUGAGAGUGCAAAGUUGUCAACAGCUGGCUGUGCCAUGAAUUGAAAGAGAGGCAAAUUUGGCUGUUUCUCAUUUGCAGACAGAUUAUAUGACAUGGCCCCAAAUUCCAAAUGGGGUUCGGUGCCUGCAUGCAUACCCACUUGAUCUUGAAUUGCGAUCAUGAUUAUCCGGUACUCGCACAUAUCUAUGUAGAUACGGGUUUAGGUUGUACUUUUGCUUCUGCCGAUUCCACCACCACAGUCCUUGGGGCUCAAUCCCGCGUCAAAUUCUUUCAAGCAUUUGACAGACGGUCGGUUAGUCAUUGUCGUACUUGUGAACAGGAUCAGGUCAAGGAACGGGGGUCCAUUAGAUGACUACGAUACAAAAGGCCAGCUGGUGAUAUAUCAUCUAAAACAUUGUUACUCGAACACAAUCUAUCCUUGAAAAUAAACCAGAAUAUCAUCCUUCUAUUGAAAUGCUGUCAAAUACAUUGUUGCCCACUUUCCAUUAAUUACCUCGAGGGUUGGGGAACAGAUUAUGUUGUAUUGUAUUCGUUCUCUUGGUUUGUACUUUUUAAUUUUCUUGCAACAGUAAGCCGAGAUAAAGAGAUUUGAUUCUUUAUUUAAACAAAAAAAGGAGAGAAACCAGAAUGUAGGUCCAAAGAAUAAUGACAGUUGAGUACGAAGUCUGUUCAUGCAACCCACAAAUUGAUUCAUAAAAUUUUUUUAACCUUUCUUAUAACAUGCAGUAGUCUUUUUAUAGUGUGGACAUCCUUAUUUUAUUUUCAUGCGAAUAUACUUUAAAACCGUAGAAUUUAAGAAAAUUAACUUUUAACUCACUUAAGCCCUACGAUUUUACAGUUCAUUUAAAAACUAAAUCUUUUAAACAACACAGUAUAAAAGUGUAUCCGUAUUAAAAAAAAUACGGCGUCCACACCUGAGAAUGAUUAUAACAUGCAGUAUCCCAAAAAAAAUUGGUAUUAAUUUCAAGACAUUCAAAGUGUCAGUUCAAACAUAUUGUAAAGGAAAUUACACUUUAACACUCUCUAGCACUCUCUUCCAGCAUCUUGGCUGAAGCUUUCUCAAAAGACCCUGGCCGGCUUUGCCUUAAUAAACAAGUCGUUGAGGCAAAUUAGGACAUUGUUGGCGCAUGCUUUGGGUUCAGUGAUUAGUUAAUUACGUAUUAUAUAACUCGUCUUUCUUAACACUUGGUGACAUGUUUCCUGUGAGCAGUAUCAUAACGGUAUAAAUUUUCAAUGUAAUAUACAAUCUCCCCAUGCAUGGGCGGCUACAUGUGACUUGGAUAAAAGCCAUGGCGAAAUGAGAUUAUGGAUUGCUCUGCAUGAGUUAGGAAAGAAAAUUCUUAGGGUAAUUGAACACUGAACAAAAUCUGAAUAUUGUUCGAUUUGAGGAAAACAAUCAACUUUGUUAAAUUUUUUGCAGUUAUCUUUGGAAGAAGUUUGGGAUACUUAUGCAAAUCAUAAAUGGCCCAUUAGAGCUCGGCCUGCAAGGUUCAUGAUUCUUGAACUAAUUUCAUUUGGGCCUAGCAGGGACCUGAUGAGUCCUUAAUAUCAAUACCUACCCAUUUCUUCUUGAUAAUUGGCAUAUAUAAUAAGGGUAAAUAAUAUAUUAUAUUACUUUGUAGAAUAAUUAUCUAAUGAUGAGGAUGCCAACCGAAGUCCAAAAUGAAAAAAUAAAAAGAAAAAUGAAUUUUGAUGAAACCAUCCUACAUCAUUUAUUACUAUUAUUUAGAUGCAUCAAGUGGGAAGCGAUAUUCUUAUGUUAUAUGAUUGAUGGCAAUCAAGAAACCCUAUUGAGAAAAGUAGAAGAAAGAAUAAAAAUAUAAUUGAAAUACGAAUUUCCAAACACUGAAUGGAUUAGAAAAGAUUCAUCGUCCUAAUUUUUGUUGGUGCAUUCUUGGGGGAGGCACUGAGGGAACCAACUUGUGUCUGCGCAAUAAUUGUAAACCAUGUAAUUUUGCUGCACCCAUUUUAGCUUCCUUUGGCUUGAAGAGUCGAGCUCCUGUGAAAACCAUGUAUUUUUAGUUGCGGGAUUCGAGCUGCAAGAAGAUAUUCCGAUGGACAAAACACAAGCUUUUGCAUUGAAGUUUCCGAAGGAAGCAGUGAAGGGAGCCUGAGACCAGUCUGUUUUCGCCAGGCCCCCUCUUGUAGCCCAGUCAUCGGCAUUCCACAGGCUAGCAUACAUUCUCAUUGAUUGUUUUUUGGGAUACGGAAUGCCGAAUGAUUCGAGAUUCUUGAAUUCUCUGAUGGGUCUGCCAUCGAUAUAGAAGCUGAACAAAAAGAAAAUGUAAUAAAAAGUUAAUGCGAGCUUGAUAAAAUUAAAUCCAGGAUUCGAAUUUCGCUCACAUCAGGGUUGUGUAUGUACUAACACAAUGUGACCUGGAUUCCAGAGGAUUGAAUAAGUGUGAAAAUCGGCAGUGGGAUCAAACCAGAGGUAGAAUUGUUGCUCUCUGUCACCUUAUCCUUGUGUGUAGACAUUUGUGUGAACAAUGUAAGGGUUGCCACUCAAAUUCCCCAGGAAUUCGAAGUCUAUUUCAUCCCAUGAUGCCCCUGGAGAUUUUAGCUGCACCAUAGCAAGUCUACGUAUCAACAUAAUGAUGUGACGACUGACAAACAAAUUAUAUGUGAAAGGGAAAAAGAAUCUUUCAUUAAGGAGCUUACAUAGUAGGCAGUGACAGUGCCAGCAGAGUUGUUGGGAACAAGCUUGAGCUGCAUAUCAAAUUUUCCAUAGAAAAAUUCAUUCUUAGACUGGAAGCCAGAGCCAGAUGCUUUGUCGAGAGACAGAGUAAGAAGCUUGCCUUUGUUGAGAAUCUUGGCACGUCCAUCACCCCAUGUAAUAUCAACAUCUUUGUUAAAAUUACCAGCAUUUGCAACAAUGAAAGAGCUUGUGACAAUAAAAGAGAACAAGAAAAUUGGAUAAGAAGAAUAAGAAUAGCAAGGCAUUGACUUCGGGAACGUUAUGCAACUUAGUUUGACACACUUGAGAAUACUGAGUUCCAGGCUAUUUAUUGGAGCUGCUGGUUAGUGCAUCGAAUGUUCGCCAAAUAUUGAAAUGUAUAGUUGGUUGGUGGGGUGAGUUGAGAACUGAACAGCUGGAUAGCAAAAACAAGUGCACAUUGAAAAUGGGCAUCUUUGUCAUAACUUUAAGCCAGUCAAAUUGCUUGCGGGCAUUAUUUUACAGGAGAGAUGAGCAUAGUUGCUACUUGCUUCCUAGGUUAUUUCCACCUACUCCUGAGCAUUUGGCAUAUCCACCGACAAAUAAUGCGAUGCCACUUCCAUGAAAAUUUGUUUUCUAGUAUGUUCUAGUGGACACCCAGAAGUUGCCAGAUCAAAGAGAAAUGGUUUUGGAUUUACUAUAUUGUAGCAUUAGAUUUCCCCACUUCCCUCUUAGGAUUCUGAAAACAUCGAGGGAGACCAUGAAAGUUUUUAAGGCUGAAAAAAUAGGGCAUACCCCAUGGAAAAUGUAAUAGCAUUAUAUAUAUCCAGAAGAAACAGCAGCUGCCAGAAGCUUGUAACCCUAUGUCAACAAAAUAUAAAGUAACCAAAUGGGCAACUCAUAACCAUUAUAAUUGAACCAAAAGAAUUUCAACUGGAUCCCCCAUGGCAUAUAUCAAAACAAACCAAAAAUCUAUACUUUUAAUGACAUAGGAAGCGGGAAUAAUAUUUAUGAAUCAGUGUGAUUUAUAAAAGGAUAGCCACAUCCACCUUAUUUAAAAAUUUGCAUGGCAAUCAAGACAAAUUUAAAAUCUAUCAACAUGAGGCACUUGCAAAGUGAGAGAAAUUGGGUCCACAACUAAAAUAGAAGAUAGAGUCCUCUAAGAAAAUAAUCCAUUAAUCGUCCUAGAGAAAAAUCUAUGGAAAUGUUCACGUCAAGCACAAAGUUAGUAGUAACUAUGACUACGUUUUCAAUCAACAAAUCUGUCAAAGCCAGUCAUCAUCGAUCAUCGAAGGAUAAAAAAAUGGCAGAGUUAGAAUUUCCGGGAGUUAUGAUAAUCCGGAUCAAAGCAAUUGUCGUCAGAAGGGUCCUUCAAAAAAUCAUCCGGGGGACAUUCAUUUAACUGUUCAAAUUUCAUAUCGCUCUCCAAACCUUGAAAUGGUCUUGCUGCUGCAGCUGAUGAUGAUUCUGCCACUUGAUUAGAAGUAGCAAACAUAUGAUGAUGAGGAUAUGUCUGGAAAGGUCUUGCUGCUGCUGAUGAUGAUAUUUCUGCAGGUUGAUUAGGAUUCCGAUUUGAAGUAGCAAACAUAUGUUGAUGAGGAUAUGCCUGGAAAGGUCUUCCCCUUGCUGCUGCUGAUGAUUCGGCAGCUUCAUUAGGAUUCUGAUUAGCAGUCGGAAUCAUUAUAUGUUGAGUCCAUGGAGAGCUCUGCCCCAUAGAAUUGUUAUACGAAUAAGGAGCAAUUGUAGGGAACCUCCCCUGAGAAACUGAAACUGAAACAUUUUGAUUUGUCAUUCCAGGGAACCUUCCUUGAGAAUCUGAAACAUUGUGAUUAGCCAAUCGAGGGAGCCUUCCUUGAGAAUAGGGAACAUUGUGAUUAGGCAUUCCAGUGACCCUGCCUUGAGCAUAUGGAACAUAGUAAUUAGGCAUUUCAGGAACCCUGCCUUGAGAAUAUGGGACAUUGUGAUUAACAAAGUGGCUCUGAUGAUAAAUGAAAGUAUCAUCAUAUGAAUUGAGAAAUCCUCCCUGAUUGUAGAAACCAGACAUAUCAAUGAUUCGAGGACCUUCAGGACCGUGAGGCAUGAAAGUUUCAUUGGGCAGCGUAGCAGAGUCUUCAACUCCCAUAUCAAUGGCUCCAUUAUCCUGAAAUUCAGUGUCUGAUUGUGGAUCAUCUUGGCCUGAAAUUGAAUCAUCCUGUCGCGAAGUUGAAGGUCUUGAAGACGACAGCUUAGAUCUAUCCUGGUCCCUUUUCUUAUAUAUCUUACACAGUACCCAAUCAUCUAACUGCAAUCAACAUAAUAUAUAAAAGCAAAACUCAUCAGCAAACCAACAUUGUAAAAUUGCUGCAACACAUCACAUAUGACACAGAAAGAAGCUACAAAAUUUAGUUACCCUCAUGUCAUCUCCACUGAUUCUGGUCCUUGGAGGACCCUCCAAUCUAAAUUCAUGCAUUAUCCAUUCAGUUUUAUCUCCCCUUGGGGGUUUUCCCAUGUAGAAGACCAAUGCCUUCUUGAAUCCAACGACAACGUCGUCGUUUUUGAUAGGUUUGUCAGCUCCAGUUGCCUUCCAGAAUCCAUCUCCAGCAGCUCUAUUGGGUCUUGUCCCGUUUUUGUACUUUCUCUCUCUUGGAGUAAAAAAGUACCAUUCAUUCUCACCAAACGGCUUAUACUUUUCUGUGCAUUAUUAAUACAGAAUCAUCAUUGUAUCAAUCACCCAAAAAAAAAAAAAAGAUCUACACUUCCUGAUUCCAUUAUAUGGAAUACGGAAUAAUAUCAACAUAAAUAUUUAUAGUCUUUGUUUUGGAUACAUACAAGCACCAAACUACGAGACCAUAUGUAGAAAAUUAAAUCAGCAUUCAACAACGCAAAGAAGUAACUUUUAACUCAAGAAACUGAAGAGCAGACCAUUUUAUUUCAAGAAACUCAAGAAAUGCCCACUCCAAUUACAAAUGAACUCAAGAAAAGCGCUAAGAGCAUUACCAAAGUACGAAAACAAAUCAAAUUAUGAGACUAUAUGUAUAACGAACGCAAAGGAAACACUUCUAACUCAAGAAACUAAACCAUUUCAAGAAACUCAAGAAGUUACACUCUAAUUAAUAACCAAAUGAACUCAAGAAAAAGAAAGAACUUAAUAUGCGUAAGUGCAUUACUUAAUUUAAAGAAAAAUACCAGCAAGGCAAUUGCAAAAAAACAAAAGAAACAAAAAAGAGAAAUGGGGUGGUGGGUAUUUUUAACCUGAAAGUGUAUCAGGAUUAAAUUUGUACAAGUGAACUUCCUUAAUCCGAUUUGGUGGCAAAGGUUCAUUCAUUCUCUUCCUCCGCAAGUAAUGAACUAGAAGCUCUAUGUCGUGAGGCUUGAACCUGUAACCAGGAGGAAAGUUAUCAUCGAACUCAGGACCCUUAGCAGCAUUCAUCCGAUUCCGCACAGGUGGUGAAGCAUCACGAGUAUGAUCUAUAGGCCUUUUUCCUUUAGGGCCUUGGCCAUUAGGGUUUUUACCAUUGCGGUCUUGGCCGUUAGGGUCUUGGUCCUUAUCUCCCUGCUGCUGGUCCGGCAUUGAUAACUUUUACCGAAACUUGAAGGAGACGCUGCUUUCCCUAUAAAAUUGACCUCACAAGAAUAUUUGUUGUGAUCAGAUACAUCAAGAAUAUUUGUUGUGAUCAGAUGCAUGGGGGCUGUUAGGGCCCUAAUAGUUUAUUUUAUUUUAAUUGCUUGUUUUAAUUUCUUUCCUAUUAGUAUUAGCUUUUCUUAUUUCAAUUAAAGUCCUUAUUAAAUUACAAUUAGGAUUGUCUUGAACUACUAUAAGUAAGUGGUUCUUAUUAUGUUUUUAGGACGCAAGUAAUAAAAUUAAUUUUAAUUCCUAUUAAUUCUUCUCCCUUCUCUUUAACUUCUUCAUCUAUUCUCUCUUAAUUCUCUAAUCAAAACCCUAGAAUCCUAUUAGGGGCUUAUUUUAUACUAAUUUAUUUGGAUUAUAUAACAUUAAAUAAAGUAGAUACUUUUUCUAACUGAUCGGUUUAUCAAACGGUUUUCGGAAGGCGAUUUAUCCUUUGGAUUCAGUUAAGAUGCCAAUCUAUCGGUGGUCAAUGAUUUGAUGGUUAUGAUUGAGUUCAAUGAUUCCAGAAUGUGUGCUUUAGUAGCUGUCAUUGAAGCUGAUGUGGCGAAAUAUGAUAGUUUCUGCUGAUGUAGUUGAUUGAGAAGCAGUAAAAUUCUUCAAAGUAGAAGUAGAAUAGAAGUUAUUUCACUGCCUUAUCUUUUAGCAAAAUGAGAGAAUAUAGGAUAGCUUCUUGUUCAUUUAAUGCAAUCCUUAGCAUAAUCCGACAUAUUUGCUCCUUUCCAGCACUGUAGCUGCAGUAGUUCCGCGGAAUUUAAAAAAAAAAAAUCGAUACAUGAACAAGAGGGACAAACGAUAUAACCCGGUUUUCUAUUUUUAUUAACAUAUUUUUAGUUCUCCAAAUUGAUCUUACAUUAGCUAUAUACAUAAUUUAAUGUAAUUCUCGAUAAAUAGUUGGUGCAUGUAAUUUCAUAAAUAUAUAUUUCAAUCGAGUUAACUUAAUAAUAGGGAUGAAAAUGAAGAAUUAGGAGGUCUAGUAUGGAUUAUUUUGCAGGUGGCACUACAAGGAGGAGGAGUUUUAUGUGAUCACUCCGCAGUCACAAAUGACCUUUUUGUGACUGCUUUGUGGCAGUAACAAAAAGUCAUUAACGCAGGCGUCCCGAAAGUUUUGUUACCGCAUAGUCGCAUACUUUACUCCAGCCUGUUUUCUGCAGUUAUGUCCUUGCAGGGCGUUUAUGGGCAAUUUUGUCAUCCAAAAUAUUGAGUAAAUAUGUUAAGAACUUGGCCCAAAAAUUAACUCGCACGGCCCAGUAUGAGUGCUGUGGUUGGACUAACCCCGGCAUCCGAAUUAAUUUUCCACAUUAAAAUUUUGGAAAAAAAGAAAAAGAAAAAGAAAUUGAACAUGUUUCCUCCCAAGGAACUUGUUAAUUGAUGGCAGUCGAUUCUGACUGCAUUUUCUCACAACUUCGUUCUCAAACAUUUCAUAUGCGAAUUGUGGCUGGGAUCUGAUAUUAAUUUAUUAAGUUUGGAAUUUAGUUUGUAGUAAGAUAACAUUUUUUUUUAAAGUCUGAAAUUAGAAUGAAUCUGAAUUUUUCAGAAGUUUGAAUGGAUUUAAAUAAAAAAAAAUUGAAUGAAACGUUUAGAUUUCUUUUUUUUUUUUAAUAUAUGAGUAUAAAUGACAUCUUAUUUGUUUUUAUAACAAAAAAAAAAGGUUUUAAACUUGAUUCUUUGAUAAUUAUAUCCUCAUAAAUUAAAACAAAAAAGGAUUAGAUCUUAUAGUUGAGGAAAUAAACUAUUUUAUACAGAUAUUUUUGGAAUAUAAUAUUUAUUUUUCAUGCAAACCUUUUCCAUUCAAAUAAAAGAUAUAAAAAUUUAUUUUUUCCAUUCAAAUGUAAAUAUCUAAAAAUCAGACAUAAAUCACAAAAACAAAUAACAAACUUCUAACGUUUGAUAAACAAUCUCUAAGUUAUAUUUUCUCGUGCAUUGAUCAGAGAAAAUGCAUAUGACAUUUGCUAAAGGAAACUCAAAAAGGUUUUAAGCUUUUAACAUUACUUUCAAAGGCCAUUCUGCAGCUCCGUUAGUUCAUCAUAUCACACGGCUUCAUAAUUUCUAUAGAUUGAAUUGAGUUUCUUGUUUCUCCAACUCAAAUUUUUAGUCUCCUUUAUGAUAGGGUUGUGGUGGUAGGGAUAAAACAUUGCGCUCUAUCUUAAAGAAUAUUUAGUUAUGAACAUCUAAAGAGAUCGAGGAGAAAAAUUUAUCUCAAAAUGACAAAAAGAAGAAAAAAUAAAAGUACAUCGGAGGUACAUCGUUCAUAAAGAAUUUAAAAAUCAUAGAGCUUCAACAAUAUAUAGUAGCCGUGCAGUUUAUGCUCCUUUUUGUGAUAUAUAUGGCUUAUUACAUUCAUAACAAAUUGUUCCGUUACAUUUUUUCUAUUGGGAUUUAAGGAAAAAAAAUUCUGAAAACAGCUCUUGAAUUGGAAUUAAGAGAGAUAAAAGAAACAACUCAAGCUUUGAGGCAAACAAAGAAUAUGAUCGUCACGUAAAUAAUUUGGUAUUCUAGGAAACUAUGUAUAUAAUUUUAGUGAUUAGAAAAUCUUGUUCAAAGAGCGUUACAACUGAAAACUGUGAGAAAUAAUCAGUUGUACUGUCAAAGUUGAGUUACAAAUAUUUUAAAUAUUUUGAUAAUGGUAACAGAAUUAGUACCAAAAAGCUAAAGCAAAUGGAGCCUUAGCAUACCACCCAUAGAAAUAGCAACUCUCCUUGAAUAUCCAUGCUGCUGACAUUCAUAUAAAUAACAAUCAAAGUACACAGAAUUGCAAGAAAAAUUGAGUUCAAGAAAACCGACCUCUACUAAAGUACACUCUAACUAACUUAUUAUAAAUGCCAAUUAAUGUCAGCUACCAUUAACUAAUCGAAUCACAAAAUGAAAAGAGUUAUAAGUUCGUAAAAUUAUGAGGUAGAGGAUCAAAACAAUUGUCUUCCGAAGGGAGAUCACUAAACACAUCAUCGGGCGGAUAUCCGAACUGUUCAGGCUUCAUAGGGCUCUCCCACGUAGGAUUAUGAUGGAGCAUUUGCUGAAACCCCGACUGAGGGAUUAAAGGAAGCCAAUUCUGAGAAUUACCCUGAUGACCAUCCUGAAAAUUAGCAUAUGGACUCUGACAAGAUAAAAGGACAUUAUCAUAUGCGCUGAAGAAUCUUCCCUGGUUGUAGUAAUCAGGCACAUCAAAGAUUCCAAGGCCUUCAGGCUUGAAAUUUUCUGUUUUGGGCAGCAUUUUAGCCUUUUCAUCAACUGAAGUUUGUCCACUAUCUUGAGAUUGAGUUGCAACUUCGCUUCUUGAUUGUUGAUCCUCCUCUGAAUCCUCUCGUUUUCGAGUAGAAGCUUUGGCUGACUGCUUUGUUUUCUUAUAGAUCCUACAGAGAACCCAGUCAUCUAACUGCAAGGGACUUGUAUGAAGCAGAAAUUAGUCGAAUAAAACCAAAAAAAAGAAUCAAAUAAAAAUGAAUUUGGACAACAAGGAAAAUCAUUUACCCUCAUAUCAUUUCGGCCUUUUUGUUUCUGUGGUGGAUUAUUCACUAUGUAUUCAUGCAUGAUCCAGUUAGUCUUAUCACCCUUUGGAGCUUUUCCCUUGUAGAAGACCAAUGCCUUCUUGAAUCCAACCAAACUGCCAUUGUGCUUAACAGGUUUAUCAGCUCCUGUGGCCUUCCAGUACCCAUCUGCAGCAGCUCGAUUGGGUCUUAGACCAUUUCGAUAUUUUCUAUCUCUUGGUGUAAGGAAAUAACAUUCCAUUUCACCAAGUGACUUGUACCUUUCUGUAAAUCAUUGCAUCAGUGGACAGAAUAAAAGAAAUUUCAUAAAGAUAUCAUGAAACAAAAAAAAUGUAGACAAACUAAUACGAAAGAAAUAACAUAUUAUAAACGUUUUCAAUAUGAGGGGAUUAAAUUUUAUAUGCUGAUUUACAACACCAUCUAAAUCUAAAAUCAUACCUGAUGUAAAAUCGCAUCACAUUAAAAUAUACACUGUAAUAUUAUAUAUGUAAUGGCAUAAACAUCUAUCGUGAAAAAGAGUAGAGAAGCCACAAAUAUCCCAAGCGAAGACUACAAAAUUUGAAUAAUAAAGAGUAGAGAAGCCACUAACGAGACUCAGAAAAUUUCCAUUCUAAUAAAUAAUAAUCUCGAGAAAUAAGGAAUAAACAGAUUUUUUUAUAAAAAAAAUUAAUCAUAUAUGAUGCGUGCCAAUAAAACAACAUACAACACAGAAAUUGAGAAAAUAAGAAAUUAAAAGUGACUUUUUUUUCCCCUAACCUGUAAGUGUGUUAGGAUUAAACCUAUACAACUCCACCACCUUGAUCUGGUUUGGAGGCAAUGGCUGAUUCAGUAUCUUCCUCCGCAAGUAAUAAACCACAAGUUCUCCAUCGUGGGGUUUGAAUCGGUAACCAGGCGGGAAUGAAUCAAAAUAAGAAUCAUCAGCGAUCAGAUGAUGACCAGUACUCUUCACAGGAUGCCGUACAAGUGAAGCAUCAUCAUUUUGCUUUUUAGGGCUUUCUCCAUUAGGGUUUUCUCCACAAGGGUUUUGACCAUUAGGGUUUUUCCCUUCAUCCCCCAGCUGCUCCUUCUGUUUUUGGUCCUUCAUGCAGGACGUAGGAAAAUGAUGCAGAUGAAAAAUGGACCAAAUAGAAGUGAUAGCUAGCUACUUUGUUCGUUGUGAUAAGAUUUAUGUGACUUCAUACAAAUAUUUUGGGACAUCAGGUAGCUAUUAUUUCUAAUUUGAUUAAUUGAAGUUUUACUUUUGUGUUUAUCAAAUAAGUGUAAAGUUAUCUUUUUGCCACGUGUAAAUGAUGCUGGAGCCUAAGAUGUCGGGGAAACGUGGCGGUGAAUUUCAGUUGAUGGAGCUAAUUUGGAGGAGUCAAUAUCUGUCAACACAUUUAAAGGUAAAGUUUAAUUUCAAAACAUUAAANNNNNNNNNNNNNNNNNNNNNNNNNNNNNNNNNNNNNNNNNNNNNNNNNNNNNNNNNNNNNNNNNNNNNNNNNNNNNNNNNNNNNNNNNNNNNNNNNNNNUAUGUAAAUAUGACAGCUCAAACUAUUCCGAAAUUGUUUUGCUCUUUAUAUUCAUAUCAUCUUGCUAAAACUUUACUAUCAUUUAACAGUAAUUAACGAUGAGCACCAUUGAAUUUAGUUAGAUCAAAUUGUAGGCUAAAUUGAAGUUCUCAAAAUUCAUAUAAACAGAUUAUAUCUAGACACAAUAUGUAAAAAGCUAGCGUGGUUGUGCAACUCAAGAUCCAAUUGAAGUCAAAGGUUUCAAUUUAUAAGAUUCAUUAUGUCUCCUCAUGAAUCAUGACCAAGUAAAUAAUUCUUCUUUUUUAGUUAAAAUUUUCGUAUUGUCAAGAUUACUAGAAAGAAAAGUGAAGAAAUAUAUAUAUAUAUAUUAAGACUUGUUGUUUUAAUCUUAAGAUAAUCAUGUUUACUCUCCGCGAUUAUAAAAGUCAAUAAGUAGCACUAACAUGAAGGAAGUAAAGAUCUCAAGGGCGUUGUUGAAUAGUUUAAAGAUUGGGACCAAUUAAUAACAGGCAUAAACUUGGAUUUAAUUCAAAUAAUAUGUGGGCUCCCGAACCCACGUGGGCCAGUCAAUUUAUAAAGGACUAGGAUCAUCUCCUGAUCUGAUCUUUAUCUGAGCAAAUUAUAUUAAUAUGAUUGGUGAUUAAUAAAUUAAAAAGAAAAAGUAGUUAAAUCAUAAUAAUCCACUAACAUUAAAAUAUAAAUGGCACAAGAUUUGUAAAAUAUUAGGAGUGCUCAGAUCAGAAGAGUAUCAUGGUCCAUUUAGAAAACUUUAGAAUCGUUUAAACAUUGGGUGAGACUAUUGGCACACCUGUUAAUCCUCUUAAAACCCUUAUUCCAACAAAAUUACAAUUAAAGAUAAAUAUAAAUAAAAUUAAUCGCACUUAUAUUUUUCUCUCUCUUGAAUCUAUUUUUAAAAAAUAAAAUUUGAGAGUAUAAUCAACUCUUAAAAAUAACAUCUGGUAAUAUCUUGAACAUCUUUAAACACUAAUUAAAUCCUCAUUUAAUUACCGAACUUAAAACUUAUACCUAAGUUGAAUCAUUUUAUUGUAGCUCAAGAAUAACUAAUAGAGCUCAGUUCUAUUUCCUUUAUGACCCAUAACUAAUUAAAUCACAUUUGCUUCUGCUUAUUUAUCUUACAUUUUUUUAGUUUGGUCUAUAUAAUUGAUUUGCACAAACUCAAAAUAUUAGUAUUUUCUUUUUCUUUCUUUUUUCAUGUUAGUUACUAUUAUUUUUUUGGAGUUAACAUUUUUUGAAUUUUAUUGAGAGAAGGUUUGGAAAAAGGGGUUUAUUAAAAAAAGAUUUUUUAGCAUCAAAUAGAAUAUAUAAUAGACUCUAGUCAAAUUAAUACUCGAUAAAUUGAUAACCUCAACUAAAUAAUAGUUUUUGUCAAUUUCGAAUUGGAGCUAAUGUGGUAAAUUAAUAAAUUGAUAAAUAUAUUAGAUAAUAAAUUUAAAAAAUUUAUUUUUGUAUAGGACCCAAUUAAUAAUUAAUUAAUUUGAAAGUAAAUAUAUAUGAUAUGUUUAUGAUUUUCUUUGUUGUAUUGGCAUAAUAUUUUACGCAUUUCAUUGGUCAAAAUUAUUUUCUUUACACCUUUCAGAUGAGAAGCCAUUGUUGUAUUCUAUGUGUUAUGUUAACAUAAGUAAGAUAGAGAUAAGUUUAAUAUAUUGCCUCAGAAAAGUCUUCUCUAAUGAGUUGCAAAGUAAUCGUGAUCUAGCCAAGUGACUGAUUCACUCAGUCAAAAUCAAAUCAGAAUUGUAUCAUACAGAUACAGUUUGAUAGAAUCACUAUAUUAUCGAAUUAUACUAUUCCUAAACUUCAUAAAAAUUUCUAUUAUGAACGUGAUAUUAUUUUUAUAAAUUAAUAAUUAUUAAUUUAUCGAUAUAUUAAUAUUCACUAAAUUAAUAGACUUUCCAUGAUCCAAAUAUUACUAAUUUAUCAAAUAUUUAUUGUAAAUAAAAAAAAGGAUUUGAAGGGGCGCCAAUGGCUCAACUCUUAGACAUGAAUUGCAAGUAUAAAAGCUAAUUAUUUUCUUUAUUUGCUUAAACUUUUUUCUUUUGGUAGUCCAUGAGUAGGUGUCAAAUUGGUAAGAUUAAUUACACAUACUCUAAUUAUCUUAAGGUGGUAGUACUCCUAAUUAUUGUAUCACUUUUUUUGAAUUUAUGAGAAGGAUUAGUUAAACAUUUCACCCAAAAAGUUAAGCUAUUAAGUAAAGAUUUAACAUUAUUAGUAAAGAAAAGUUUAAAGUUUUAAUAACUUUUCCUCACAUGAAGUCCAUGCGUGCAUAAUCUAUUUUAGACAUAAAGACAUAGUAAGAAAUAGAUGUCUACAGUUAAACUAUCAUGAUUGUUGUCAACUAUUUUUUGGUGUAACAAUUGAUAUCUCUCCAUCUUUUUUGCUUUUUUUCUUUUCUUUUUUUCACAUCGAGCAUUUGAAUCUUCCCAUAUGUAUUAUAAGAGUAAAAUCUGUUUCAAUUUAAGAAUAACCCUCUUAUUUUUAGGGAUGUUCGAGAAUCGAAUUUUGCGGAUUGAACAUCAAUUUAUAUCUGAUUUAUGAUUUUGGAGAUUAUAAGUUUUCAAUCCAAUCCAAUUCACGUAUUGCCGAAAUUCAAUCCAAAUUUAGUCUAUACGUCAACAGAUCGGAUGCGAAUUUGACCCAAUCCAUAUCUAAUCCACCAUUUUACAAAUUGAUUUUGCAGACUAAAUAUUUUUAAUUUUGUCCAAUCCACAUAAAAUAAAAAAAUUAAUAUAUAAAUAAUUUUACUACUGACCAAAUUCAAAAAUCAAUAAGAUUUAAUCAAAUUAUUUAUUAAAAAAACUAGAAAAUACAUUCAAAAUUUCAAAAUUUCAAAAUAUUCAAAUAUAGCACACCUAAAAGAAAAAAUAUCAUUUGUUUAAAUACAUUAAAAUUAACUAAAAUUAUGAAAAUUAACUAUUUAGAAAACUAUAUUUGUUUAUUUAAUUAUUUUUAUUUUAUAUUAUUAUUGGAUAAGAUAUAAUAUGGUGUUAAUGUAAUUAUAUUUUAACUUAUUUAUUUAUUAGUAAGCACUAAUGCCGCAUUUAUAAGUUUUUUUUUAAUUAAAUAAGUUUUUUUUUUUUUUUUUGCGGAUCGUGGAUUUUUGUAGAUUAUAGAAGUAAAUCUAUAUUCAAUUCACCAACUAUAGAUUUUUCAAUUUUCAAUCUAAUCCAAUGCAUCAAUUCACAGAUUAAAUUUUUAUUGAUCAAAUUUUUAAGGAUCAAACAAAUUGAAUUUUGAACACUACUACACAUUUUCUUAAGCAUAUUUUGGGACUAUUCUAAGUACGGAAACUGCUCCAAAGUCAUCCUAUUCACAUAGGGUUGAGCCCAUCCGGUCAGUAGAUGCGGAAACUAUGUAGACUGUAGAGUGGUCAAAAGGCACCCAUCAGCCAAAAUUUCAACGUGUUAAUAAACCAUGCUUAGGGCUGUCACUUGUGUGACAUGCAUAAAUCCGCAUUUUCGCAGUUUCUUUUCACUAAUUUCAGUCUUUGCCAUCUGUUUCCCGCUCUUGCUCUUUGCCCCACAAGUGCUAGCCUAAUCCUUGACUCUAACUCUUCCCCAUCAUCUAUCGUAUCUCUUAAAAUUUUCAUUUUUCUUUUUCCAAAUGGCAAAUCGCUUCUUUCUUUUCGUCUCUAUAAAAAUCCAAAACUAUAACAAAAUUUUAAAUAUCGCACAAUGGCUGCGGCUAAAUCACUAGUAGUGCUGAUAAUGCUGUCUGCUUUAUUAUCUAACUCUUUUGUGUUAGUUUUACCAGCUAGUAAUUUUUAUCAAGAUUUUGACAUCAUAUGGGGAAUUGACAAGGUCAGGAUUCGCAACGAUGGAGAAGUCCUCAAUCUUUACCUUGGCAAAGACACAGGCUCAGGUUUCCAGUCCAAGAAUGAGUAUCUAUUUGGCAAAAUUGACAUGCAAUUCAAGCUUGUCCCAGGCAACUCUGCUGGCACUGUCACAUCUUACUAUGUAAGGCGUAAGCUGCCAGUGAUCUUGCACGAAAAUGUUUUUCUCUUUAAGAGUAAGCUUAUUUUUAAUUCUGUGUUAUAGUUGUCAUCACAAGGAUCAACAUGGGAUGAGAUAGACUUUGAGUUCUUGGGAAAUCUCAGUGGCGAUCCUUAUAUUUUUCACACAAAUGUAAUCACACAAGGCAAAGGUGACAGAGAGCAGCAAUUUUAUCCCUGGUUUGAUCCCACUUCAGAUUUUCACACAUAUUCCAUUCUCUGGAAUCCCAAAACCAUCGUGUAAGAAUUUCAAUCCACUAAUCAUCUCUUGUUGAAAACAAGCAACAAUUCAAGUCACUAAUUAAUCCUCUUCUUUUUUUUAUUAGACGUGUCUCUUUUUUUUGGUUUAAUACUUCAUAUAUUCUUUGGGCUCUUUUGGGUUAAAAAGGCUCUCUAACAUUUUUGUUUAAAAACGUUUUCAGAUUCUAUGUCGAUGGCACACCGAUUAGAGAGUUCAAGAACUUGGAGUCAAUCAACAUUCCUUACCCAAAAAACCAACCAAUGAGAAUACACUCGAGUCUCUGGAACGCUGAUGACUGGGCAACAAGAGGCGGUCUUGUCAAAACAGAUUGGACAAAAGCUCCAUUUACAGCUUCUUGUAGAAACUUUAAUGCCAAAACUUGCAUUCGUUACCCAGCAGGUCCAAUCAUUUCUGCGCCUUGCCCUUCGAAUUCUUCAUCCUCUGCAUGGAUGAAGAUCGAUGAGCUUGAUGAAACAAGCAGAGAGAAACUCAAGUGGGUGCAGAAGAAUUACAUGAUUUAUAAUUAUUGUACAGACACAAAGCGCUUCCCAAAAGGGCUUCCUCUUGAGUGUGCUGUGGCCACGAGUGCUUACGUAGAUUCCGCGCGAGUAUAAACAUAUAUAUAAUGACAAUACUUUAUAUCAUAAAUUUGCUAUAGUUAUACAUUACUGCGAUGUUUACUUAUGUUUACUUUCUUGAUUGGAGAAUCGAAAUUAUUAAUAGCAUUUACUUUACAAAAUAAGCAUCAAAAUGAAAGACUAAAAUAAGCAUGAAAAUGCGAGACUAAUUCUCAACGAUCGAUUUUUGGUACUCUUGACUCAUUUCACUCACAAGACCAAAAACUGGGGGACUGGUGUUAAGCAAAUAAAAGCACCAGGUCGGCCAUGCUACUAUUUCCACCCCGGCAUGAAUCACCUCAGCCAAAUGGUACGAGCAGAACAGGGGGUAACAUGAGCUGAUCAGAGACGAAUACCGACCAGAGUCGUAUACCGAGUCGGUACCCGUCCCUCAAAAAGCGGAAACACGAUCCCACAGAAUCGCGGUAGUUGCGCUUUUCCCAGAACCGUUGUGGGAGAUGCGAGAUCCCACGUUUGCCCACAAUGUAGCAGUUAAAAUCCCAUGAGGGGCUGCCACUACCCGAAAAAGGUGGGAUGAAUGGCAAACGGAAACGUGGGGACAACGGCUAUAAAAGAAGAAGAAAUCGGUGAAGAAAGGGGAAAAAAAGAGAGAGAGGGAAAACGCUGCCAAAUUGCAACUAGGCCAUUUCCUUACAAAUUUUUAAUAAGCUCCUGGAAUCCAAAUUACACUGUUUUCCCGUAAACACCUUGUGCUAACUUAGGCAUCGGAGGGUUUACGCCGGCAAAACCACCGGCGUCUCUGAUCCAUUUUUAGUGAGUGCAGGUCUAUUGAGAGAAAGGAGGACGAUUCCAAUCCCAGUGAACGAGCAACAGUAGAUAACACAAACGUUGGUGAAAGAAUCUGGUCGGUCAAGAGGCGAGCAGAUUUCAGCAUCAACACCUUCAUUCAAUUAAAAAAAUUUAAAUAGAAAAAAAAACCACAGCAAACAGUCGCUGUAAAUUGAAGCCUCACCGAUUUUCAUCGUCUUCACCAAACUGUUACUGCAAAAAUCAACGUCAUUGGUCGUCGCUGACCGUUGAGCAGGAGCAAUAGCAACAACGAUCUAGCAACAACAACCAUCACCGAUGAUGAUGUCGACAACGACGAUGAUAUUAUGAUCCAAAUCCGAUUUUGAUUUGUUGUUGUCGUUGAUGAUGAUGAUUUUGAUUAUUAUUAUUGUUAUUAUGAUUUUCAAAUGUAUUAUUAUCAUUAUUAUUGAUAAAAAAAUAUUAUAAUUAAUAUAUUCAUGUUAAUGAUAUUAUUAUUAUUAUUAACAAUAAUUAAUAAUAAUAAUUUCUGAAUAACAAUAAUUACAUUAAUUAAAAUAUAAAAUAAUAAUUAUGAUAAUAAUUAAUUAAAAACUUUUUAGUAAUUUAUGACAGUCUAAUUUAUUAUGACUAAGAUUUCAAGACAAACUAAACACAUCAAUGAUAAUACAAUUUAUUCUAAUUUUGAUUUCUACAGUUAAAGUAAAUAAUGUAGUUUAUUUCAUGCUCAAACUUUAUGUUGUAAUAUCAAAAUAAAGUUAUAAUAAUAGUAUUGAUGUUGUAUCAGUUAUCAUAUGAAUUAAGAUGCGAAUAUGCUAGAAAGGGAUCACGUUGAUAUGGUCUGUGAGAACUUUAGAUGAGUAAAGCUCAAUCUUUUAAGUCUUUUUACAUUAAGUAUAUUGAAUUUAUAAUAAAUCACAUCUGCAUCUUUCCAAUAAAAUUCGUAUUAUAACACUUCUGAUAUAAAGAAUGACAAAUCUGUCUUUUUAUUGAUGACCAAGACUGCAAAGAAUAGCUCUACAGAGAGCAUAUAAUUGAAUGUAAUAAGUUUACACUGAUUUAUCUGUUUGAUUUAAUCACUUCUUUAGGAGAUUUUUUCUUUUCAAAGGAAGGCCUUGAGGAAAUCUCUUUGCGUCGGUGCAGUAGUUGUAAAUCAUGUAUGUCUUUUGUACCCAUUUCAGCCUUUCUUAACUUGUUGAAUCAAGCUCUUGUGAGAACCAGGAGCAGCCGUUGGAUAUAUGGAGAGGAAGGUGAACUUGAAGCACAAGAAGAUAUUCCAUUAGACGAGACACAUGCAUCAGCAUUGAAGUUUCUAUAAGAAGCGGCGAAAGGAGCAUGUGUCCAUUGUGUCUUGAUAAGGCCACCUCUUGUAGCCUAGUCAUCAGCAUUCCGUAGAGAAGAGUACAUCCUCAUUGGUUGAUUCUUUAGAAAUGGCACUCCAAUUGAUUCUGAGUUCUUGAAUUCUCUUAUGGGGGUGCCAUCAACAGAGAAGCUGGAAAUUACAAUGAAAAAAGUUAUAAGUCUAAGCAAAUUAACGACAGGGAAAAAAACAGUACUUACACAAUGCGCUGAGGAUUCCAGAGGAUGGAAUAGGUAUGAAAAUCGGCAGUAAGGUCAAACCAGAGGUGAAAUUGUUGCUCUCUGUCACCUUUGCCAUUUGUGAAUACAUUGGUGUGCAGAGUGUAAGGGUCACCACUUAAAUUGCCCAAGAAUUCAAAGUCUAUC
RNAcentral lists this long non-coding RNA (46947 nucleotides) under Citrus x clementina. RNAcentral's name for it is "Citrus clementina (C. clementina) long non-coding RNA (CCLE_LNC006882)". The record is from RNAcentral. Lineage: Eukaryota; Viridiplantae; Streptophyta; Magnoliopsida; Sapindales; Rutaceae.